Molecule: long non-coding RNA, 56671 nt
Filed under: Ananas comosus (pineapple)
Lineage: Eukaryota; Viridiplantae; Streptophyta; Magnoliopsida; Poales; Bromeliaceae
Description: long non-coding RNA (ACOM_LNC026559)
Source: RNAcentral
UUUUUUUUUUUUUUUUUCUGAGAGAAAGAUACGUAGUAUGCUACCCGUUUUGUUUAAGAGCACUACAACAGAAUUAGAUUAUAGGGACAAAUGUUUGGGACACUUUUGUCUAAGUGUCCCAUUUAUGUCAAAGUUUUAAAAAAUAUCUACUAAUGCCUAAAUAUAAAGCCGAAUCCAACAAAAAAUAAAAUGUUACUAUAUUCAACUCAUCCAACUCAGCCCAUUUGGCCCGAUUCCAAAUAGAAAAGAAAAAAAAAAAAAAGAAAAAUCGAUUACCAUCUCCCCUUCUCCCCUCACUCAAUCCACUGAAAUCCUAGAUGAAGAGCCAUUCCCUUUCGUUCUCCUCCACCACCGCAGCCAACGAGGUAGAGUUCUAGCGGUUGCUAGAUACUUAAAUAAGUGUUGCUAAAUUAGCAGCACUAUUUUAAGUUAUAGCGACACUCUUUAACUGUCACUAUAUAUUUAGCGACCCCACAUAUAGCAACACUUUUUAAAAGUAUCAGUAAUUUAGCCAUCAACACUUUUUUUGACCUAUACCGACAUUUAAAAGUGUCGCUAUAGACCGUUUGUGUUGUAGUGGAGCUAGAAAUGUGAAUCAACUAGAAUUCGAACUUGGGUCUCGGGUACCAACCACCAAGCUAAAUAAUUGGAAUCAUACAUACCAUUGAGACCAUGUCCAUAAGUGCUUUUGCUAGAAGCUCCCACAUGUAGCAAUCCGUCUGGGGUGAGGGAUGGGAGCUUCUCCUCCCCAUGAAUGUCAACACCAUGUGGCCACCCUCCACCACCUCUGCCCCCCGGCACUGGAGGAACAAGGAGAAGUCCCUCUUGAAUUGCUUCUUGUAUGCUUCAAACACACAUGGUGGGCUAGUGCUUGAUAUGUAGAUUUUUCCCUUGUUGUUGAGGGGAACUUCACUUCCAUCAUCUAGUAACAUUUGAGGAACCUGAAAAAGAGAUGAUAAGCUCUAUAUCAAAUAGGGCUGACAAGCCAGCUCGUUGUUCAUGAUAAGCCGGUUUGAAACAUGUUAGAGAUCGAUCACUCCUUUAGUUAACGAGUCGAACACGAGCUGAAUUCUUCAGCUCGAAAUUUCAACGAGCUGAACAUAAGUUGGGGUCUGCUAACUCGUGUUAAUUAGGCUCGAUAUAGCUCGAAUAUAAAUAUAAAUAGGGUUAAUUUCAAACAGAUUCCUACAAAUAUAAUGAAUGAUAAAUAUAUUUCUAUAAAGUUCAACUUUCAUAUGUUGUCCCUACAAAAGUUUUAAUAUUUUUAAAUAUGUUUCUCUGGUUUGUUACCGUUAGAGAGCGUUAGAGAACCGUUUAUAUUUUUAAUUUUGCCAUUACAAAUAUACCCCUUCAAAAAUCAUAACAAUAUAAUAUAAGAAGGGUACAGAGUUAAGUAUUUAACCUAUGAUUAACUAAAUUUUUCUAACGAAUUAUAACGGUAGAGACAUAUUUGAAAAUAUCAGCUCUUUUGCAAAGUUAACGUAUAAAAAUUAAACUUUGUAGAAAUAUAUUUGCUAUUUACUAUAUUUGUAGGGGACUGUAUAAAAUUAAUCUAUAUAAAUAUUAUAAGUUUUUAUUAUUUAGUUUUUAGACCAACCAAGAUACAAAGAGACCUAUAUUUCAUGAAUUAUGAUUAUUAGAUGUCUGAACACGUGAUAUUUAUUAUGAUUAAUUGAUUAACUUUUGCUGGCAGCAACUAUGAAAAAAUUAUUGAUUUCAAAUCCUGAUGGACUGACUGACUGGACGUGCCAGCCAGCUAACAGCUUGCUCCAGAAUGUGCUGCUGUCACAAAACAGACUUCCAACCACCAACUACAGUUCUUGCACAUUAGUAUACGUUGUAAGACUACCGUAACAACACUAAUACUAGAUGCAUCCGUUAUCACUGUUAGAUAUUACAAAUAUUGUUUUGAUUCGUUAAACUAAUCUAAUGAUAGCAUGCUUCUACUUUAUUCAUUUUUUUUAGAAAUAAAUUUAGUUGAAAACGUGAAACAAUUAGUUUUCGAACUUGAGAUGCGUAUGAGCCAGGAGUGUCAAACAGAAAUUUUUUUUUUUUCCUUUCAAAGUGUGAAGGUCGUUGGAGCGUAGCGGUCAUGAACUACCAAGUUGAUCUAUCCUACAUCGAUCUCCUUUUCUUAUUUAGGUAUAUAUCAACUAGCUAGUAAUCAGCAAUCUACUUUAAUUCCUCAAAAACUUUCUUUAGGAGCUACUGUAUUUUUAACUACAUGCAUCUCUAACUAUACCUCAUUUAUAAUUACGUCGAAUUAAACAGCCUCUAAAAAUUUCCUUUUGUAUCCUAGAGGAUCUACACCUGCCUAAAGAGAGAGGGAUAAAUUGUGUGAACCUGGGAGAGCCAGUGAAGGCUAGAGGAAGAGUACACAAAAUGUAAGCUUUUGCUCAGAAACAACCUCCCAUAGAAAGAUCCAGCAACCACUGAUAUGAAGCAAUGCACUUUUUGUUGCUCACUCUCUUGUAAAUUCACUUCUCUAAGCCUGUAAAACUCAGGCAAUAAGUCAAACAUGGUGUUGAAGUCAUUUCCCGGGAGGUCGUUGAGGAAGACUUGGAUCUCCGGUGGCCUAUGGUUGAGCUGACGGCUUGCUUGUGCGAUCGCCUCGACGAUUUCGGAGACCAUGAACAGUGCAUUCGGACCUACCGAGCAGCCUAGGUCGGCGAUGGUCAUCUGUGUGGGGAAACCCGUCGCUCGGAACGAGCUGACGGCUGCCUCCUGUCUCGCGGUGUUCGUCGAAUCUAGUAUGAUCUUCUGCUUAAAAGGAAUUUAGAAUUUGUUAGUUAGCGAGAGAAGUGAGUUUCUACGUAUGUUUGGUUUAGCUUUCGGAACUGCUUCUUCAGAACUUAUGGGAUAUAGUACAUACAUUUAAAAUUAAGCUAGGGCAUGUGCAUGCUACCAACAAGCAAAUUAUAGAAGCAUCAUAUGCGCAUGCAAAAAAAACCUUUUCUUAAUCUCCAAAACAAAAUAAAACACAGAACAUGUAUAUAGUUAAAUUGGUUGAAGUAAAAGGCCAAAAAUAAGUUUUUAAGCCUGAAAGAUAAAAGUUUCUAUUUAGGGUUUUAGCGAGGAAGAAAUGUAAUGAGAAACUUUUCAACAAUUUUCUUCAGGAAAGUAACUCUACACAAGCUCCGGCCCGACCAAAUUAACAAGCACGAUCAAUAUACAUAUACUUAUAUAAAGGAUGUGGCUAGAUCCAAACUUGGAUGGUAGAAUUUUUGGCAUAGCUCAUGUCAUCAACUCCACUGUUCAUGUGUAGAACACUUUGCACCUCCAUGGAGCUAGUAGCUAUAGCUACAAAGAGUAAAUAGUUGUAGAGAAAGAUAUAUGGAGCACCUUGAUGAAAUAAGUUAGGCUUUUAUAGAGUUCAUGGUUUAUACUAUAGUGUACUAGUUAAGGGGCCCCGCGCUUCGCGGCGGGAAGACAAUAUAAUAUUAAAUUAUUAUAAAUAUUAACAUUAUUUUUUUUAUUAUACAUUAAUAUUUUUAAAUAUUAUUUAUCGCAGACCUUCCGCGGGAUGCGGACUGCAGUUCGAACCUGUAAGGAUCCCCGAUUAAUAAGUUCGAUGCGGCGGAAAGAUAAUACAAUAGUAAAUUAUUAUAACUAUUAAUAUCACUUUAAAUUAAAAUUUUAAUUUUGAAUGCAAGUUCAAAUAUCAAAAUCAAAAUAAAAAAUUAAAGUUUGAAAUCAAAAUCUACAAAAUUUAAGUUUGAAAUCAAAAUUUAAAAAAUUUAAGUUUGAAAUCAAAAUUUAGAUUCAAUUUAAAAUUCAAUUUAAAAUUCAAUUUAAAAUUUGAAUUCAACUUAUAAUUCAAAAUUCUAAUUACUAAUUAGUUCAAAAUUUUAAUUUUAAGAUUAGAUUCUGGAUUUAAAUUUAAAUUUAAAAUUUUAUAUUUUGGGACUAAAGUGAAAAAUUUGUAAAUUUAGAGACCAAAAUGUAAUGCACAAAAAAAACUAAAGUCUAUUUUUGGUCCCUAAAGUCUCUAAAAAUUAAAAAUUAAAUUGAAAUAAAAGCACUAUUUUUUAUUAUUUCCAAAAUAAUAUUAUUAUAUAUUUAUAAAUAAAAUAUUAUAUAACAACAUAUUUACAUAAAAUAAAAUAAAAUUAUAUAUUAAUAUAUAUAUAUACAUAUAUAUAUAUAAGCACGUAUUUCAAAUUUGGGUCUUUGACAGACCAAUUUUUUGGCGGAAAAAAAAAUGAUUCUUUUCUUACGUAAAAUAAAUAACGUAAUGAAACAAACUUUUAAUUUCUAUUUAUCUCUAAAAUAGAAAAAAUAAUAUACUUAUCCAAAUUUUUACCAACUGAAAGAUAUCUACUGUGAAUCUAUAUUUUAAUUAAAAAUUUAUUUAAUUUUUUUAUCUCUAAAAUAGAAAAGAAAUUUAUGCUUAUCCAAAUUUUUGCCAGAAUAUCUACUGUAAAUUUAUAUUUCAAUUCAAAAUUUAAAAUUAAUUUAAAAUUUAAAAUUUUGGGACUAUCAAUAUAUUACAAUAGAAAUAAUUUAAAAGAUAGAUUGGUUGAUAAAUUUGGAAAUCAUAUUUUUGAAUAAAUAUGAUGUACAAAUUUAUGAUUAAUUUGUAAAAAAUUAUCUCAAAUAAGAACGAACGAUUAUGAUCAAUUUGUUAAAAAAAAAAAAUUUAUACGUAUCUAUAACUUCAAUUCUACGAACAGUUAUGAUCAAUUGGUUAAAAAUAUUAAAAAUAAAAAUAAAUUUUUAUAUUCAAUCUAUUAAAAAGUAGCACUUCAUUUAUUUAUUUUAUAUUAAAAUUUAAAUUUGAGUUUAAAUUGUAAAUUAAAUUAAAUUUUUAAUUUUUGAUAUCAAAUCUAUCCAUCUAUUUUAUAUUAAAAUUUAAAAUUGAUAUUGUAGAUAUUUUCUAAUAAAAUGUAACAUAUAAAUUUAUGUAAUAUUUUAUUCUAAAUUUUUGAAUAAAUAUGAUUUAUAAAUGCUUAUCGAUUUAAACAAAAUUAAAAUAAUUGUUACGUGCAGUUGCACGUACACUCAACUAGUCUAUACUAUAUAUAAAAGCACGUAUUUCAAAUUUCGGUUUGUCGACAGACCCAUUUUUUGGCGGAAAAAAAAUAUUGUUUCCUCUUUCCUUAGGUAAAAUAAAUAAUGUAAUGAAACAAACUUUUAAUUCCUCUUUAUUUCUACAACAGAAAAAAAUUUAUGCUUAUCCAAAUUUUUGCUAACCGGAGAAUAUCUACUGUGAAUCUAUAUUUUAAUUCAAAAUUUGUUAAUUGUUCUUUAUUUGUAUCUAUAAUAUGAUAUCUAUACUAUCUUCUAUACUAUAUAUAAAACCACACAAUAUCUAUACUAUCUUCUAUCCUAUAUAUAAAAACACAUAUUUCAAAUUUCGAUCCGUCGACAGACCUAUUUUUUUUGGGAAAAAAAAAAAGAUUCCUCUUACUUUACAUAAAGUAAAUACCGUAAUGAAAUAAACUUUUAAUUUCUCUUUAUCUUUAAAAUAGAAAAAAAAUAUACUUAUCCAAAUUUUUGCCAACUAAAAGAUAUCUACUAUGAUUUUAUAUUUUAAUUCGAAAUUUGUUUAAUUUCUUUUAUCUCUAAAAUAGAAAAAAAAAAUUCAUACUUAUCCAAAUUUUUGCCAGAACACCUACUUUAAAUCUAUAUUUCAAUUCAAAAUUUAAAAUUAAUUUAAAACAUUAAAUUUUGGGACUAUCAACAUAUUACAACAGAAAUAAUUUAAAAAAUAGAUUGAUUGAUAAAUUUGUAAAUCAUAUUUUUGAAUUAAUAUGAUGUAAAAAUUUAUGAUCAAUUUGUAAAAAAUAUCUUAAAUAAGAACGAACGGUAACGAUCAAUUUAUUAAAAAAAUAUUUAUCCCUAUUUAUAAAUUCAAUUCUAGGAAUAGUUAUGAUCAAUUGGUCAAAAAUAUUUAAAAUAAAAAUGAACGGUUUAUGAUCAAUCUGCUAAAAAAUAGCACUUUUAUCCAUCUAUUUUACACUAAAAUUUAAAUUUGAGUUUAAAUCGUAAAUUAAAUUAAAUUUUUAAUUUUUGAUAUCAAAAUUGAAAUAACAAUUAAAAACUUUUAAUUAUAUAAUGGAUCAAAAUUAAAUUUUAAAAUUUGAAAUAAAUGUCAAUUAAAUUUUGAUGCUUUUAGUUUAAAACACUUACUUAAAUCUUAGAUUUUUUAGAAAUUAAAAAAUAUAUAAAAAUAUUUAAUGCAUAUAGAAAAAGUAAUAUACGAUAUUGUAGAUAUUUUCUAAUAAAAUAUAACAUAUAAAAUUAAAAAAUAUUUUAUUUUAAAUUUUUGAAUAAAUAUGAUUUAAAAUUUUUUAUUGAUUUAAAAUAAAUUAAAAUAAUUGUUAUGUGCAUUUGCACGUACACUCAACUAGUAUAUAUAUAUAUAUAAUUAGUAUUAUAUAGAGAGAGAGACGAGAGAGAGAGAGAGAGAGAGUCCCGCACAUGCUAUUACAUAGCACGAAGCACUUGGUCUACCCAGUUUUUUCGCCGUUAGAUCUAAUCCUUGAUAUUUUCACCGUUAAGAUCAUACUUAUUCAACCAACCACACCACUUAAACCCUAAAGGCCCACAUCAUCCUAACGCCACAUUCUCUUAAUCUAAUGCUAAAAACUGUACACAAGUGCCUUGUUAUUAAUAAGGCAUAGUCGUCUAUUCCUCUCUUCUCUCUCUCUUCUUCUCUAUAUAUAUAUAUAUAUAUAUAUAAUCAAAGAGAGAGAGAGAGGUCUACUGCUCUCUCUCUCUCUCUCUCUCUCUCACAGCCAGCGGUCCACGAGGUGAAGCCCACCUCGUGGACCUCAUGCAACAUGGGCAUGUGUGAACCCCGCCAUUUUUCGGGUGGGCCUCACUUACCCCGUGGGAUGCGGAGAGCUUUCUCUCUCUCUCUCACAGCCAGCGGUCCACGAGGUGAAGCCCACCUCGUGGACCGCGUGCAAGAUGGGUAUGUGUGAACCCCGCCAUUUUUUUGGUGGGCCCCACUUACCCGGUGGGAUGCGGAGAGCUUUUUAUGGUUCCCAAUUCAUAAGAGUAUAAAUAUGCUUUAUAUUGGUUUUGCACAUGAAGUGUUAAUUGUUAGUAGUUUGGCAAAUUAAUUAGUUGGGGUGUCCAUUUUCGUCUAUAACAUCACAUGUGGAAUCUAAAAUGUGGACCCGCUAUAAAAGACCAAGUUCGAGAAACACGAUUUGUGUCACAUAUGUUCCCACAAGCCAAGUUGAUUGUGUACUAUUGAGAGAGAAAGAGACAGAGAGAGUAGUUGCAUAUUUCAAUAUGUUUGAAUCACACAUUUGAAAUUUAAGACUUUCUUGAGAUUCUCAUGUUGGUCUUUAUUCUCAUUAAUUUAUUAUUUGUGUUAAUGCCAAAAUUAAAAUUAACACGCCGACCUAACCCACAUAUGAGCUAAGGACACGUGGUACACCAAGAGUCGGCAACAGGGCGCCUGAAGGUCAAGAACGUUUAGGCGGAAACGGUUGAGAAAUGGGGCGUAACUUCCAUGUGAAGUGGGGCGUAACUUCCAUGAGAAGUGGGGCGUAACUUCCAUGAUCAUUGCUACACAACUUCCCCCACUACUAUAACCAAACAAUAAUAUGGGCUGAUAAGAUAUAAUAAAUAGUAACUUUGAAGCCCGUAAUAAGCGUCUUUCUCUCCCAUGAACGAGAAGACCACCGCAUUUUCAUAUCCUUCCUUUCCUGCAUUUAUUGCUUUCUAGGAGUAGUCUAAAUGUAAUCUUUUCUUUUUCGCAUUUACUGUUUUUCUUGGAGUAGCUUUUAAGUAGAACCCUGAAGUCUGUCUGCCCCACGAGCAUCACUCUAUUGUAAACUACAUAUUUGCAGAGUCUGUAUACCCUUCGGGCACACUGUUUUAUUAAUAUAUAUAUAGGCAUUCGGCUCUUUUAGCCAACCAGUUAUUGUGUAUUUCAUUUAUUCGGCUCUUUUAGCCGACCAGUUACUUUGUACUUCUUCCAUUCGGCUCUUCUGCCGACAUUGAUCCCUGCACAGUUCAUACAUUCGGCUCAUCCAGCCGAACCGAUUCAAAAGUAGAGGUUUUCGAACUCGGCUGAUCCGAUCCCUCAUCAGCCGAAUCGCUUGAUCCAGUCGAAAGGCGCACACUUCGAGGGUCACUAUUCACAGCCGUUUCGCACGCCGGUGAGGAAGAUCUUUAACCGGGUCAGGGAUUAGAGAAAUCGGCUACCAACAAUUUUGGCACGCCCGGUGGGACCCAAUUUUAGGUAAAUUUAUAUUUUUAUUGAAAUUAUGGCUGAUGAUAAUGGCAUGAAUUUGUGCAAUCGGGUUGUUCCUAGAAAUUCUGGAAGUGAUCAACCUAGCGAUUCAGACAAUACUAGCGAACGCCAAGCAGUUUCGCCAGUUGAAGGAGAAACUAGUGGAUAGUCGGCUUAUCAAGAGCCGACUCUAACUCAGGCGCUCGGCCAGAUGAUCCGAGUCCUGCAAACUAUAGAUCAAAAUAUUUAUCAAAGUACCGUUCAAUUAGACGCGGUAUUGGCAGCCAUCACGGCCUAUAAUGAAAAUAUUGUUCGAAUCAGACAGUUAUUUACCCAAAACGAGCAACCUUACGGGGGACAACAGGGGCCCCUAACUGCGCCGGCGCAACAAAAUUCAGUCACACCAGCGGUCUCACAUGCGCAACUGCAAAUGGCACCUUUCGAGGCUGCUUAUAGGCCGGCGAAUAUAAACGCUGGCCCGCAGUCGGAGAUUUCAUCCGGUUUACCUCCAUUACCAGCUUAUCAGCCCCAAAAUGCGGGGAUUAGAGCUGGGGGGCAGGCCCCUAAUGCUAUGCAACGAGCGAACCCUGCAAUACAGAAUUAUGGAGUUCCUCAAGGGCCGAAUCCGACUCAAGCACAAGCUCCGCUUCCCAUACAAAGGAAUAACAAUGAGCUGUAUGAUCAGAUUGAGGAAGUCAUCCGGAAUACCUUCGGAGUAGGGGCCAGGCCGGCUAUGCGGCCUGUUUUCCGAUCCCCGUAUCCCGCAAAUAUAGAUGCAGAGCAUUCUUAUCCGGCGAAUUGAAAAAUGCCAAAGUUUGACAAGUUUUCCGGAGAUGAGACCGAAAACACGGUCGAAUAUGUUGCACGGUUCACGGCACAGUGCCGGGAAGCCGCCACAGACCUAUUUUUGAAACUUAGGUUAUUCAACACCUCGUUAACCAAGACAGCUUUUACUUGGUACACGAGUCUACCCACUAAUUCCGUCCGAGAUUGGGACGAAUUAGAAGGAAAAUUUCAUGAGCAGUUUUAUAGAUCAGAACCAGAAUUGUCGGUAGCUGAUCUAACCGAAUUUAAACAAAGAACAGGCGAAUCGGUUGAAGAAUAUUUAAACCGAUUCAAGACGGCCAGAAGUCGAUGCUUUGUUAGGAUGUCGGAAUCAGAGUUCGCCAAAAUAGCGUUAAAUGGUCUGCAUUUUAAGAUAAAAGACCAUUUUGAAGAUAAAGAUUUUUCUAACCUAUUUGACCUAGGUGUUCGGGUUGCCCAAUAUGAGUAAUUCCGGAAGGAAAGUGAGGACGAUCGGCUGCAAUGGAGCCGAUAUAAAAAUCAAAGUAAAGGCAAGGAGAAAUCCUUAAUAGAAGAACAGUCGGUUCAAGAAGAGCCGAGCCAAUCGAGUGAAAGUGAAGAAUCGGCUGAUUAAGCCGAGAUAUAUGCGGCUAGUAAAGAGUCGCUUUCUUCAAGGAGAAAUCCUUGAUAGAAGAACAUUCGGUUCAAGAAGAGCCGAACCAAUCGAGUAAAAGUAAAGAAUCGGCUAAUGAAGCCGAGGUAUAUGCAGCUGAGAUGAUAAAGAGCCGUUUUCUUUAAGCCGACCAAAACCAGCGAAACUAAAGCUUAGGUGUAAUACACUGGAUCUUAGCAAAUUGCAAGAUUCGAGUGUUUGAUCUGUGUGUGGAGCCUUUCCACAGUUUUUGGAGGGUCGUUGAUAGUGUUCCGACCCCUGGCACGCAUCCCGAGGAUGUUGGAGUGAGACUUGGCACCAAAAUCCCAAAAUUGGAAUUUUUGGUCAGCUCUCGGGUAGCCUGCGGCAGGGCUUGUACCGGAACAAGACUGGUCUUGUACCGGUACAAGGGUUGAUGGUUGUACCGGUACAGCCAUCGGGCUUGUACCGGUACAGAGCCGCAGACCCACGCGCGACCGAGCUCGGUGUUUGGCAUAUUUCGUCGGCCCUUGUACAGGUACAAGAACCCGUGUACCAGUACCAGGAGGCAGUUUCGGCAGAAUGAACUGCAGGGUUUGUUGCGUUUGUUAGCCUUCUAUUAGUAAUCCCACGCCCUAGGGCAUCUCCUGAGCUUGGAACUGCGGCGAGAAAGGUGAGGAGCACCUCCACACCUUCCUUUGUGUGAUUUCUUGAUUUUUGGUUGGGGUUUUAAGAGAUUAAACUUCAUUUUUGCUCUUUUGCUUUGUUGGAAGCUUUUCCAUCAUUGAGAGCUUGAUAUUUGGAGCUUUGUAGAGUGGAAGAUCUUGGGACUUGGAUAGUUUAGAGCUUGGAUUGAAGCUUCUAAGAGGUAAGCAACAUGUUCUCUCCCUCUAGAUUCAAGUUUUAUUGGGAUUUUGAGAUUGAAACCCUAGAAUGAGGUUUAGGGUUAAUAUUGGGGGAUUUUGAAUCUAGGGCUUUUGAGCUAGAUUGAGUGAUUAGAGGCUUCCAUUGGUUGGAUUGGAUGAGCCCUAGCUUCAUUUUGGAGUUUUAGAGGAAUUUUUGCACAAGGUGAGUUAUUCCUUCACCUAUGAUUGAUUAGCUAAUGUUUGAGCUAGGUAUUCGUGUUCGUUCGGCUCGUAUGACUCAUGUUCUUGUACCUCUUAGGGUAUAGGAGAUAGAGGACACCCUCGUUGGAGCGCACGAGGAUUUCGUUGUCAUCGAGUGGGUUUGGCUUCGUGGAAAUGGGGCGAAAUGGCCCCUAUGCUCUUUCUACUUGUUGUAAUUAUUUUUUUAAGUUCAUUUCUAUGCUAAAUGGAAUCUAUAUGAAUUUUAGAGCACUUAAAAUGCAUGCCUCGUGUAUUAUGAAAAUUUCACUAUAUAGUAGAGCUAUAUGAUAGAAUGCAUGCAUACGGAAAGUGUUUUAUUUUGCAAGUAAAAAAUACAUCUCUUAUGAGAUAUUAUGACUUGAUUUUAUGACUUUGGAACAUAGUUACCAUGUUUUUGACAUAGAGAACCAGAGUGUCAUAAAGGGGCAUUUGAAACUAGUAAACUAUGAAACUGCAACAUAGAGACAUAUUGGUAGGCCACUACAUAUCUGCCUAUUAUUCCAUGUUAGAGACAUGAUGACAUAGGGAUAGGCCUUUGAGAUACUUGACACAUUCCAUGUUAUUAGACAUGAGGACUUGGUACUUGCGACAGAUCGUUUGACACCUUGCCAUUGUGCUCAUUCGCACAUGCUUGUGAGGGUCGCUCCCUACAAGCCGGCACUCGGAGAUGGCCAUCGCGAUUCAUUUUCGCCGUGCGGGACUGGGCGCCGAAGUGGAUUGCGUGGGACAGGCUCAUUCCUAGGGAGGGAUGAUGACUACCACGGGGCCAUAGGCUCGGCACGCCAGACAGCCUACGGGUGGGUCUCUAGGGCCAUAGACAGCCUUCGGUGGGUCUCUUCAGAUUUGACUUUGUGUAUCCAUUAUGACAUGUGGCACAGAUGAGGAUUUAGUAUACUACUUGGACAUUGAUUAGAAUAUUAAACAACGGAACUUUACUAUUUUCACAUUGUGAACAUCAUGAUAGUUGGAGACAUUUACUUCAUGCAUAGUUGCUUUCAUACUUAUGCUAUUUAUGCAAGUAGAGAUAUCAUGUCGUAAGUAGGUUACAUUUUUACUUACCUUUCGCUUUUCUACUUUUAUAGUCACUGACAUCUUUUCGUAGCUUUGGGCUUGUGGUGCAUUCACUGAAGUCAGUAAUUGCCCACUGGGAACUAUUUCUAAUAGUUCUCACGCCCCUGUUUUAUGGUUUACUUUUCAGAGUGUUCGGCACCGGCGGAGGCACGGGAUCGCGGCAAGGGGAUCGCUUAGCUAGCUAGCGAGGAGCGGUACUUUGCCUAGGUGGUUUACUCCUUCUUUUUGUAGUUGAGAGAGAGAGUGAGAGAUUUUUGUAACCAUGUAUAGAGACCACCUAUGUAUCUACUUUUAGCACUUGUAUUUGGGAUUUCCUAUUGUUCUUACUUUAUGUUUUAUUUAGUGGAUUUACAGUUUUAUCCUUAUCCUUGUUGUAGCUUUUAGACAUUUAUUAUGCUUUGAUACUCCUAGAUGUCUUGUAUUAUUGCUUUUAUUAUUGUUGUUUCUAGACGCCUUAUACGUUUUAGACGUAUGGCGGGUCUGGGCACGCGCCGGGCGGGCUUCCGCUGGGUCCCGGGGCGUGACAUUAGGUCUCGAUUGUGUCAUUGAGCAGUCGAUUUGGCACCAAUAGUCAUCCGAAUGUUCAUUCGAAAGACUAUUGGGAGGGCAUUGUUGAUGCCAAAAUUAAAAUUAACACGCCGUAACCCACAUAUGAGCUAAGGACACGUGGUACACCAAGAGUCGGCAACAGGGCGCCUGAAGGUCAAGAACGUUUAGGCGGGAACGGUUGAGAAGUAGGGCGUAACUUCCAUGUGAAGUGGGGCGUAACUUCCAUAAGAAGUGGGGCGUAACUUCCAUGAUCAUGGCUACACAACUUCCCCCACUACUAUAACCAACCAAUAAUGUGGGCUGAUAAGAUAUUAUAAAUAGUAACUUUGAACCCUGUAACUUUGAACCCUGAUAUAACAUGCUUACUUGUGUAGAGUAGUUACUUUACCUGUUGCAUCAUAAUUGUUGCAUUUAAAAUAUAGUAGUUCUACUACUCAUUAAUUGCUUAUUAUUAUUGUCAUUCCUACCAUGUUGUAGUUGUACAUGCUUUCUCUUUAUACAUCAUGAACCUAGUGGUGUAAUUCGCUGAGGUCGGCGGCAUACCCACUAAGAACUAUUAACUAAUAGUUCUCACGCCCUAUUUGUUGUUGUUUUAUUUACAGAGCCAUCCACUGCGGGAGAGGCUAGGGACCGCGGCAAGGGAGUCGCGUCUAGCUAGGCAUAGCUUGGAGUCCCGCUAGGUGAUCACCUUGCUGUUUUGGUUGUGUGGACGAGAGUGAUUUUCUACCCGUGUAUAGAGACUACCACAAAUAUAUGUAGUUGUUUUGUGACCGUGUGAUGUAUGUUAUUGUUGGAGAGUUGUAUUUACAAUUUUAUACUCUUGUUUCCUGUUGUCUUUAGAGGUUGGUCUAUAUGUUACACUCUUGCUUUGAGUACUUCUAGUACCUUUUGUACAUUCUAUACUCUGAUACCAUGUUAGACUCUUCGGUUGAUUGUUACUUUUCUAGCAUGGUUUUGGUAGAUGCCUUGUAUACUGCAGGUAUAUGGCGGGUCUGUGCAUGUAUCCGGUAGGCUUCCACUGAUACCCAGGUGUGACAUCCGUCCUCCUCGCCCUCGCCCUAGCCCGCUCUGCCGCGCCCCAUCGCGCCCUCCCCUCUACGCCCACCUCCACCUACUCCGCCGCCGCACCGGCCCCGUCGCCGCCUCCGCCCUCCACAUCACGUGCGCGCCGCACCUCGUCGGUGAGAAGGGCAUCGGAGACGACGACGUGGGGCACAGCAGAGCGGGCGAGGGCGAGGAGGACGGAGGCGUAGGAGGCGGGGGCACCUGAGAGCUAUAUUUCUUAGUUUUCUUUUUUCUUCCUAAUGUUUGCGGUUAAGCAACUUGUUAGAACUUAUUUUUUAUCGUGCUCAGCUUUCGAUUGAUGCCGAUAAUCAUAGGAAUAUUGAUUCUAGGACACUAUUUCACAUUAGUUUACUACGGCAUGGGUGUCCUCUAUUUAACAUAUUCUUCAAGCAUGAAUGCUUGAGCAAUUUAGAUGGUAAUGCUUUACUAUUGACCUUCUAGGGAAACUGAAGAAUGUUUGGAAUAGAGGUCUUUAAUGGAGCAAGCAUUUUGCGAGUAUCAUUCGGAAAGUUGUAGGGCAAAUAGUUUGUUGUGAGCUCAAAAUUGAGAUAGCUUGCAGCCCCUCGCCCGCUCCGCCGCGCCCCAUGUCGUUGUCUCCCGGCGCCCUCCUCACCGACGAGGCGCAACACGCGCACGUGACGUAGAGGGUGGAGGUGGCAGCUGGGCCAGUGCGGCAGCAGAGCAGGUGGAGGUUGGCGUAGAGGGGGAGAACGCGGUGGGGCGCGGCGAAGCGGGCGAGGGCGAGGAGGACGGAGGCGUAGGAGGCGGGGUCGGGGCCGGGCAUGCGGAGUGUCACGCCCCGGAUUACUCGAUCCCCGGGCUCGCCGACAAAUCCGCCGUACACAAAGGAAUUUUUCUUAUAUACAAAGCGUAGCUGUACCUGUAUAAUAUAUAAUACUACAACCAGUAGUAAAGAGCUACUAAGAAAAUAAAACAUAACCAGGUAGAAAAGAACAGUUCACUAUGCAUACAACAUCCAGUACACAAAAACUCGCCCAGCGAAAUACAGUAAAGGUAUGUAUAUGAACUCAAAAACCACACUAUCUGAAGCGGGUAAUCCUCUAGCUCGGCGACUCGUCGAGUAGGGCUCUAGCUCGUAACGCCCUUGCCACGAUCUGCCUCAGAAGAUGCAGCAGCCGGAACCGAAGGCUCUGCAAAACAGUAGUAACAACUGGGCGUAAGAACUACUGUAAACACAAGUAGUCCUCAGUGGAUACCGCCCUCAACAUCGUCAAUCCACCCACCAAGUCUACAGAAGGGAGCGAAGAUAGUAGGAAAAGCUGGAAGAAAUUUAUAGCUAAAUGCCACUAUACUAUCGUGCUCUACACUAAGCAACUGUAAUAAAAGUCAAUUCUGACCCAAAUCUCACUAGGACUGUAAGCAUACCCGUCCCUGGGACUGUGAACACACCCGCCCCGCCCAGUUGUGACUAUACAGCUACCUCCAUGCAAAGCAGUCAGUGGAGAGCGAGUCCAACUUGCACGAAUGACACCAACGCAAAAGCACAACGCCCGUCUCCGGAGUGGCACUCGUGGGAGCUACCCAACCGAGUAUGCAGCGUAUCUCUAUUGUGCUCAAUCAGACUCUCACAAGCCAAAGUCAAGUAAAUCAGGUCCAACUGGUCUAACAACCAACAGGUCACGUGCCCUCGGCACAAUCUGACGCCAAAACGGCGUUAUGGGUCCACCGUCAACCCAGCAGACACCCAACAGUCCGGAACAGUCUGAACGCUACUGUAAAAAUACACUCGGUAUCCCAGCACGAGCGUAACUGAAAUCUAAACUACGUGGGUAUCCACCACGCUGAUACUGCGACGAUACAAAAUAACAACGGCUCCUAGAGCUAAAUCAGAUAGUUUAAACAUAUGACAGGUUCGAAUCGCAGGUUUUCUCCUAAGUCAUAUCCAAGUCCAACAUGUGCAAGUAGAUUUAGUAACACUAGGCUCCAAUUCAGAUUUUUGUAAAAGAAACAUCAAAUCCAUGAAUCGAGUGAAUAGGAUAUGCAAAAACAACUACAACAACACAUGCCGACUAUCUCUAUAUACUUAGAAGACAAACCGAUGAUUAACCUACCUCGAAAGCUACUCCCAGUCCGGCACGGUGUUAAGAACGGCUGAAACGCACCCUCACCCGGCCUCCCCGUAGCACUACGACGACAAAGACACGCUCGAACGGCACCGCGGCGCGACGUCGACAACACCCGAACUCCAACCGAGCUCCUCCACCACGCACGGUCGAGCACAAGGAGAAGAGAGAGAGAGCACUAAAAACAUCUCCUCUCUGAUCUCUCUAUCCUAUAUAGGGGGGAGAAGGGUUGGUGAUACAACCAAGGCAAGAGAAUUACCAAAAAGCCCCUUACCUACCUUGGUGUACCGGUACACGGACAAUUGUACCGGUACAAAUGGCAACCCGAGAGCAGCUGCGCAGGUUCUCGCAAAAUGUACCGGUACAUCUCGAUGGUUGUACCGGUACAGGAAGUGUACCGGUUACAACUCGAUGGUUGUACCGGUACAACAGGCAAAAAAUAGCCUAAUUCUAAUUUGCAAUGCUCACACCCUGCUCUCGCGUCGCAAUGAGUCCGUUUAGCAUCUAAUUCGCACCAACACGACUCAAACUUGUCCCGGCACUCUCCAGAGCUGUCGACAAGCCUCAACAGCAGAACUCCAUGGAUACCACAUCCUCCCCCACUAUAAAAAGUUUCGUCCUCGAAACUUAAGCAUACCUCAGCUCAGUGCAUCAAACAGAUAGGGAUAGGAUUCCCUCAUCACCGUCUCGGGCUCCCAAGUCGCCUCCCGCUCCUCGUGAUUACUCCACUAAACCUUCACAUACGGGAUGACCCGAUUGCGCAACUCUUUUGUCUCCCGAGCAAGAAUUCGUAAUGGUCGCUCCUCGUAUCUCAGAUCCUCACCAAUCUCUAGUGGAGUGAAGUCGAUCACGUGAGAAGGAUCGAGAAAAUAUCUCCUCAGAGCCGAGACAUGGAACACAUCGUGAAUGUCUGCUAGCCGUGGAGGUAGAGCAAUCCUGUAGGCAACCGGUCCAACUCGCUCUAAUACAUCAAAAGGGCCAAUGAAACGUGGACUGAGCUUUCCACGCACUCCGAAUCUGCGAAUCCCUCUGGACGGUGAGACUUUCAGAAAAACAUGAUCUCUAACCUGGAACUCCAAGUCUCGUCUCCUGAUAUCGGCGUAGCUCCUCUGGCGGCUCUGGGCUGUCAAAAGGUGUCGUCGAACAACUCUCACCUUUUUCUCAGCCUCUAGCAAGAUCUCAAGCCCUAGCGUCUUUCUUUCACCCACAUCACUCCAAAACAAAGGGGAUCGACAUCUGCGUCCAUACAACGCUUCAAACGGAGCCAUCCGGAUGCUCGUUUGAUAGCUGUUGUUGUACGCAAACUCAGCCAGUCUCAAAUGUCGAUACCACCCUCCUCCAAAGUCCAGAACACAUGCCCUCAGCAUGUCCUCUAGAGUCUGUAUGGUCUUCUCUAACUGACCAUCUAUCUGUGGGUGAAACACCGUGCUGAAAUGUAGCUGUGUACCCAAGGCUGUCUGAAGACUCCGCCAAAAAUGUGAAACAAACCUCGAGUCUCUGUCCGAUACAAUCAACAUCCCCCAUGCAGCCUGACGAUCUCAUCCAAGUAUAGCUGCGCGAGCCUCUCUCUGAACCAGAUAGUCUGAACAGGUAGGAAGUGAGCAGACUUGGUGAGUCUGUCCACUAUCACCCAAAUAACAUCGAAACCACCCAGUGCUCUAGGUAACCCCCCGACGAAGUCCAUCGUGAUCUGCUCCCAUUUUCACUCGGGCACUGGUAGAUUCUGAAGCUUGCCAGCAGGUACCUGAUGCUCGGCCUUUACCUGUUGACAAGUCAGACACUGAGCCACAAAUCUGCCAAUGUCCCUCUUCAUUCCAUUCUACCAGAACUAUGCCUUCAAGUCCUUAUACAUCUUGGUUCCACUAGGGUGAACCGUAUAAGGAGCACAAUGAGCCUCUCUCAAAACAUCCGCUCGGAUCUCUGAAUCCAUAGGCACACACAGUCGGUCCCUGUACCGCAGUACUCCCGAACUGUCUACUACAAAGCCCUCAGCCUGUCCCCUGUCUAACUGCUUUCGAAUCAUCAACAAGUGUGGAUCUCCACUCUGCUUCUCUCGGAUCCUAUCCAACAGAGUGGGCUGCAAGAUUAAAGACAUCAGUCUCACAGUAGACCCAGGGAACACUAUCUCGAGCCUCAGCCGCUGCAGCUCCUCGAGUAACGGCCUCUGCUGUGUGAUCAUCAAACUCAAGCUCUGCACUGCCUUCCUGCACAACGCAUCUGCCACCACAUUCGCCUUGUCGGGAUGAUACUGAAUACUAACGUCAUAGUCCUUCAGUAACUCCAACCACCGGUGCUGCCUCAGGUUCAGUUCUCUCUCGGUGAACAGAUACUUAAGACUUUUAUGAUCGGUGAAAACCUCACAGUACUCGCCGUACAAGUAAUGCCGCCACAACUUCAAAGUAAAGACUACCGCGGCAAGCUCCAAGUCAUGCGUAGGGUAAUUCUUCUCGUAAUCCUUUAACUGCCGUAAAGCAUAAGUAAUUACCCUACUAUGCUGCAUCAGCACACAGCCCAGCCCGCUGUGCGAUGCAUCACUGUAGAUCACAGAUCCUUCACCCAUCACAGGAAGGGGAAGGAUAGGAGCUGACGUCAACCUCUGUCUCAACUCAUCAAAACUCCUCUGACAAUCCUCACUCCAGAUGAACCGAAUCCCCUUUCGAGUCAAUCGUGUGAGGGGUGUGGAAAGCUCCGAAAAGCCUUCCACAAACCGACGGUAAUAUCCUGUCAGUCCAAGGAAACUCCUCACCUUAGUCACCGUCGUCGGUCUGGGCCAAUCCCGAAUAGCAUCGAUCUUCUUCGGGUCCACUGCUACUCCCUCAGCAGAAAUCACGUGGCCCAAGAAAGUAACCUCCCGCGACCAGAACUCGCACUUCUUCAACUUGGCAUACAACUUCUUCUCUCGCAGAAGCUGCAGCACAGUCCUCAAGUGCUCCUCAUACUCGGCAUCGCUCCGGGAGUAUAUCAGAAUAUCAUCAAUGAAGACCACCACAAACCUAUCCAAGAACGGUUUGAACACUCUGUUCAUCAAAUCCAUGAAUGCGGCAGGGGCAUUCGUCAAUCCAAAAGGCAUCACCGUAAACUCAUAAUGCCCGUACCGAGUCCGAAAAGCCGUUUUGAGAACAUCCUCGGCCCUCAUCAGCAGCUGGUGGUAACCGGACUGGAUAUCAAUCUUCGAGAAGACACAAGAUCCUUGCAGCUGAUCAAACACAUCAUCAAUGCGCGGCAAAGGAUUCUUGUUCUUGAUAGUCACCUUAUUCAACUCCCGAUAAUUCACAUAUAACCUGUGCGAACCAUCCUUCUUCUUUACAAAUAACACUGGCGCUCCCCAGGGCGAUACACUGGGUCUCACAUACCCCUUAUCCAUCAAAUCUUGAAGCUACGCCUUUAGCUCUCUCAGCUCCGCCGGUGCCAUCUGAUAAGGUAUCUUUGAGAUUGGUGCAGUUCCAGGAACUACAUCAAUCACGAACUCAAUCUUCCUCUCUGGCGGCAUCGUCGUCAACUCUGGAGGAAACACAUCCGGAAACUCGCGGACUACAGGAAUAUCCUCGAGUCCCGGCGCCGCCUAGGUACUUCAGCAACUGCGGCUAGAAAAGCAAUGCAUCCUCUACUCAUCAGCUGUCGAGCCCUCGCGAAAGAAAUCCAAACGGCAAACAACGUGCUCCUACAGCCCCUAAAAGUGAACUCCUCCUGGCCUGGCUUGCGGAACGUCACCGUCCUCGCUCCACAAUCGAUAAUAACAAUAUACCGCGCCAGCCAAUCCAUACCGAGCACAACGUCAAAGCCCUGCAGAUGCCCUAACACCAACAGGUAUGCGGUCAUAAUCCACGAAUCCAACUGCACCGGACAUGACCAACAACACUCUGCAACCUGUAACACAUGGUCGGAGAUCUGCACCUCUUGUGCCUGUGGCAAUGACCCUAAUUCUAGACCAUGCAACAAUGCAAAUGCUCAGCUAACAAAGGAAUGCGAUGCACCGGUAUCAAAAAGUGUACGAGCUCUAAUGCCAGAAAUCAAAAUAAUACCUACUACCACUCGGUCGGCUGCUGUAGAGUCCUCCACCUGGGUUACAUAGACCCUACCACUCGCAGCCUGCUAUCGCCGCUCACCCUGCCGUGGCACAGAUGCCCUAUCCUCCUGGCGGUAACUCGACGGUGCCCCAUAAGACUGCAGGGAGGCUGGCUGUGCAGAUGCUGUGGAUGGUACUGGUGAUGCUGCUCGAGGACAAGCUGAUCUCAUAUGCUCUGGCUGACCGCAACUGUAACACCUGCCCUCUCUCUGCUCGCACUACCGGGGCCAGUGGGGUCCCCCGUAGAUCACGCACUGCGGUGUCCUCGGUGGCUGUCCCUGCUGACGGGAUCCCCCAGAACGCUGACACCCCGAAGACCCAUGACCCUGAGAGUGUGAUCUUGGCGGUCUCGGUGGACGCCUACUGCUCGACUGUCCUGCAUCAUCUGGAAAGGGGCGCUUCCUGUCCUGACUCUGCCCCACGGCCUGAGUCCUCUCCCAAAUGGAAUCAUCACCUCUCUCAACCCAAAGAGCCUGCUCCAUCGACGCAUCCAAGGUCCACAACCUCUGCGCAUGAACCAACCGGAAGAUCUCGGGCCUCAAACCCUGCUCAAAGAGGUAAACUCGGUGCGCCUCAUCCCUGGCCAUGAACGGCACACAAUUCAGGAGUCGCGUGAACUCCCGAAUGUACUCCUGAACUGUCCGCUCACCCUGCUGGAUCUUCUUCAGAUCCUCCUCAAGCUUCUGUUUCACACUGUUGGGAAAUACAUCCCAAACAGCAUUCCACAGAACUCGUCCCACUUCAUCUGCAGCGCUACUAGCCCAUAGUCUCGCCUCAUCCUCCUCCACCAUGCGUGAGCAUUGCUUGACAAACAGUGGACUCCCAAAUGUACCUGCUAUCUCUCUGAGACAAAUAGAUCCUCAAAUAACUUCUCCAUCGCACUGACCCAGCCCUCAACAACCCAGGCCUCAGUGCAACUGCCAUCGAAGAUCGACGGAUCAAAACGGCGAAACCGAGCCAGCCUCUCUGUCAACCGCUCCUGCUUGGCCUCUGUCAUCUGUACUGGCCCCCUAGCAGGCACAACGGGUGUCACAGGAAUCUCCACUGGCUGGGGUACAACUGCGGCUGGUGCUGCUGCCGGGGUGGUCGAAGAUGGAACAGCCUGCUCUGGUGCGCUCGGUACUAUACUCUGUGACGGAGCCACUCUAUCACACAACCUCUGCAACAACUCCCCCUGUCGCCUCGUCACUUCUAUCAAGGCAGCCAACUGUGCACUCAAAUAAGGAGGUGCACCCACCUCCAGUCGGGCCCUCUACUCCACAACAGAGAGUGCACUCGCCUCUACUUGCUCCGGCAUCUCACGAGGUACGGCACGAUCCUGAGUCAACUGUGCACGAUCCCGCGUAGACGGUCGACCUCGGCGACGAUACAUAGCUGCAAGAAACAUAACGGGGUCAGAUCAAACAAACACUCUUGACCCAAUCAACGAAAGUCUAGAAGGCGGCCUCCUGUUUCUCCUCAAAAUUAUGUCGUCUGCAGCCAACAUAAUUUUUCUGGACCGAAACAGAAACUCUUUCAAUCACUCCCUCCGCUCCAGGAGGAGUUAGAACAAUCAAUCAGUGACUUACGCGAUAAAUCACGCCUCUCGCGUCUUGCUUUCCUAAGGUUUGCCAACUUAGGUUUCCUAAGUCCCAACGACCUAAUGCAAAGCUCUGAUACCAACUUAAUUUGUCACGCCCGGAUUUCUCGAUCCCCGGGCACGCCGACAAAUCUGCCGUACACAAAGAAAUUUUCUUUGUAUAUGAAGUGUAGCUGUACGUGUAUAAUAUACAAUACUACGACCAGUAAUAAAGAGCUGCUAGGAAAAUAAAACAUAACCAAGUAGAAAAGAACGGUUCACUAUACAUACAACAUCAAGUACACAAAAACUCGCCCAGCGAGAUACAGUAAAGGUAUGUAUAUGAACUCAAAAACCAUACUACCUAAAGCGGGUAAUCCUCUAGCUCGGCGACUCGUCGGGUAGGGCUCUAGCUCGCAACCCCCUUGCCACGAUCUGCCUCAAAAGAUGCAGCAACCGAAACCGAAGGCUAUGCAAAAACAGUGGUAACAAUUAGGCGUGAGAACUACUGUAAACACAAGUAGUCCUCAGUGGGUACCGUCCUCAACAUCGUCAAUCACCCACCAAGUCUACAGAAGGGAGCGAAGAUAGUAGGAAAAGCUGAAAAAAAUCUACAGCUAAAUGCCACUGCACUAUCCUACUCUACACUAACCAACUGUAAUAAAAGUCAAUUCUGACCCAAAUCUCACUAGGACUAUAAGCAUAUCCGUCCCUGGGACUGUGAAUACACCCGUCACGCCCGGUUGUGAAUAUACAGCUACCUCCACGCAAAGCAGUCAGUGGAGAGCGAGUCCAACCUGCACGAACGAUACCAACGCGAAAGCACAAUGCCUGUCUCUGGAGUGGCACUCGUGGGAGCUACCCAACCGAGUAUGCAACGUAUCUCUGUCGAGCUCAAUCAGACUCUCACAAGCCAAAGUCAAGUAAAUCAGAUCCAACUGGUCUAACAACGAACAGCUCACGUGCCCUCGGCACAAUCUGAUGCCAAAAUGGCGUUAUGGGUCCACCGUCAACCCAGACGGCACCCAACAGUCCGGAACAGUCUGAACGCUACUGUAAAAAUACACUCGACAUCCCAGCACGAGCGUAACUGAAAUCUAAACUAUCUGGGGUAUCCACCACGCUAAUACUGCGGCGAUACAAAAUAACAACGGCUCAUAGAGCUAAAUCAGAUAGUUUAAACAUGUGACAGGUUCGAAUCGCAGGUUUUCUCCUAAGUCAUAUCCAAGUCCAACAUGUGCAAGUAGAUUUAGUAACACUAGGCUCCAAUUCAGAUUUUUGUAAACUAAACAUCAAAUCCAUGAAUCAAGCGAAUAAGAUAUGCAAAAACAACUACAACAACACAUGCCGACUAUCUCUAUAUACUUAGAAGACAAACCGACGAUUAACCCACCUCAAAAGCUACUCCCAGUCCGGCACGGUGUCGAGAACGGCGGAAACGCACCCUCGCCCGGCCUCCCCGCAGCGCUACGACGACGAAGACAUGCUCGAACGGCACCGCGGCGCAACGUCGACAACACUCGAACUCCAACCGAGCUCCUCCACCACGCACGGUCGAGCACAAGGAGAAGAGAGAGAGCACUAAAAACAUCUCCUCUCUGAUCUCUCUAUCCUAUAUAGGGGGGAGAAGGGUUGGUGAUACAACCAAGGCAAGAGAAUUACCAAAAAGCCCCUUACCUACCCUGGUGUACCGGUACACGGGCAUUUGUACCGGUACAAAUGGCAACCCGAGAGCAGCUGCGCAGGUUCUGGCAAAGUGUACCGGUACACCUCGAUGGUUGUACCAGUACAGGAAGUGUACCGGUUACAACUCGAUGGUUGUACCGGUACAACAGGCAAAAAACAGCCUAAUUUCAAUUUGCAAUGCUCACACCCUGCUCUCGCGUCGCAAUGAAUCCGUUUAGCGUCUAAUUCGCACCAACGCGACUCAGACUUGUCCCGACACUCUCCAGAGCUGUCGACAAGCCUUAAUAGUAGAACUCCAAGGAUACCACACGAAAGAGGCAGGCCUCGAGCCUGGCGGGAGGCGGCGGCAGAAGAAGAAGAAGAUGAGAGAGAGAAAAAGAAAAGAAAAAGAAAUGGUGCAAAAUUUUUCUAAAUAGUACAACUUUGAUCUAAAGAGUGUAAAAUCUUUGGCCUAAAGAGUGUAAUUUCUAUAUCAAAUAGUACAAUUUUCAUUAAAACUGUGUAAUUUUUUUUUAAAACAGUGUAAUUUUAUUUUAACAGUGCAAUUUUAUCAUCUUAUUUCUUCUUCUAUAUUUUUUGAUCUUUUUUGUAAGAAAAAAUAUUUUUUAUUUUUAUUUUUAUUUUUUAUUAUUCUUAUUUUUUUCUCUAUAAUUUUUUUUUUGUCACCACCUCUUUCUUGCUCUCUAUCGCAACCACCGCGACGUCAUCAGAGACGAUCUCACCACGUCCAACGACGUCGCGGCGUUCCGAUGCGCGGUGGAGGAGAAGAGCCUGUGCCUAGACGUCAUCGUGCCCUAGUGGAGAAGGAGGAUCGCGGCGCGGCCUCAGCAGGGUGGGAGGUGAGGAGGGCGGGGGUGCACGGGCGAGGGCGAUGGCGUGCGGGGGAGAGGCAAGGAGGGUUGUUUCCACCUCCACCUCCGCUGCCUUCUUCGGAGAGAGAAAAAAAGAACGAGAGAAAAAAAAAAGUGGAGAGAGAAAAAGUAAUGAGGGUAUUUUGGUCAGUUUGCUGAAAAUCCGGCCCGAAUCUACAAAAACGAAAUAAGUGGCCCGCAUUUGCAUAGGCGCAAAACUAGUGAAUUUUUUAUGCAAAUUGGCUGUAAGGACUGAGAUUUUUACAGUGCUACUAAACUCUCUGUUGAUGAUGUUUAUGUGUGUAAUCUAAUUAUAUAAACACUCGUCAAGUUACAGAAGAAAAUGAACUAAAAUGGAGAAGAUACGCGAGUUUUAGUUUUCACUUAAGUGAAUAGUAACUCCGGUUUUCCGGAGAAGCCACGGAGUAGAGCUGGCUUUCGGCGCGUAUCGGACUCCGUUCAUAGCGAUCCAAUAGCUAGUUUUGAACGGUUCAGCUAUUCUGGAACCAAUGGCACUGACGGAUUUUAGAUCUGAUGCACGGUUUUCGAGAAAAUCUGAAAAUACAUGUUUCUUAUGUAAUUGUGCAUCAUUUUGGCCUUUUGGAGAGAGAAUGGAUUUCGUCGUGAAUCGGAGAUCAAAUCUGACGAAACGAAAUGCUAGAUUCGAUGCCUCGACGUGCUGAACGCGUUGGCGUGAUCCGAUCGGAAAUCCGAUGGACGGAUCUUUGGGAAUUGCAAUAAGUUCGCUAAGGGGUCGAGAGUGGAAAAUCGGGAAAUUCGCAAAAGUCGUAAUAUUUUAUGUACCGAAUCGCGCGAGAUCGAUUGUGGAGGUGCAAAAGCGCGAGAGUUACCCAUUGUGAGGGACUAGGGUUGAAAUUUGUAGUUCAGGUGGACUUUUGUGCAAUUUGCACAUUGCAUACAAUGUGCAUCUAGGGUUCUUUUGCAAGGAACCCUAGAUCUAGCCGACCUAGUUCCCCAACCGUGCCCUAGAUAGCCCCAGUAGGUCCCUGCCCUACCUGCGCUCGUGCCCAGACCUCCGGCGAGCAACUCCGGCCGCCGGAAAACUCAUGGUCAUCUUCCUCUCCACCCUCUCGGCCUGAGUACACAGGGAAACGCGCGAAGCCCGAGGAUCCUUCACCCUGUGGCAGAGAGUUACCUCCGGCGCCGACCCUCGCCGGCCCCCGCCGUCGGCGCGCGCCGCCGACGCCGCCGGAGCCACCUUGCUCCCUGCGGCCAACCUGCAGUCACCCAGGCCGAGCCUGGGUGAUCUCUGCCUCCGCGCGUCGCCGCCGCCCACCCUCGGUCCCGCCGCCCUCAGCUGGCCUCCGGCGUGCCCCCGCGCGCCAUCGCCGCCGCUCCCGUCGCCGCCGGCCGCCGCUCUCUCUCUCUGCGGCCGCCUUGACCAAGUGCGGGCCGAGCCGGGGCUAGCUCCGCCUCCGCGCGUCGCCGCCGCCCACCGUCAGCCGCGCCGUCAUCCCUCUGCCGUCGGAGACCUCCCGCGUGACUCUCCCGCCGACCCCAGCCGUCCCCGUGGCCGCCGGCCGCCGCUCCCGCUCCCUGUGGCCGCGCAGAGUCUGUGCAGGCCGAGCCACACCCAGCACCGCCGCCGCCGCCUUCCGCCGCCGGCCGGCGUGAGCAUCGGCUCCGCCUGGCCGGCCGCACCCGUCCGCCACCGGCUACCCCGCCGCCGGAGCACCCUGUCAACCGGGAUGAGCUCGAGCUCUCCUCGGGUUGUGCGGCUAGGGCAUCAUCGUCCGCCGCCUCCGCCGCCUCCCGUCGUCGGCCGACGCGCGCCCUGGCCUCCCCGCUCUGGCCUCACCUUCCCUUGGCCGGCUAGCCCACCAUCCGGCCGCCGCCGGCCGUCCCGUGCCUUACCUUGCUCCGGUGAGUUACGUAAUAGCUUUCUGCACCUUGUCUUGGGGUUCCGGUCACUGUUCCGGUGAACGGAGGCCACCCCGAGUCUUCUGAAGGUGAGCACGAUGAUCCUGGUUCAGUGCUGAUCAUCGUGGCCACCUUCAUUGGAGUCUGAGAGCGUCUGAUUUGCGAGAUAAGCGUGUUCUUCUUGCUGUGCGCGCUGUUCGCAGAUUUUCGCGUCACUCCCGCGCUCUCCGCUGUGGCCGAUAUUGCUCCGAAAGAUGAGCACGGCCUCCGGAACGUCGAAAACUGUCAGCGGGUAUUUUGACUCGGCUGAUUGAUCUCUGGUUUGCGUAAACGGACCAUAAAAGCGCCGAAAUCGCAUGAAAUAAUGCGAUUUCGGGUAUUCGGAAGGGCUUUUAUGCAACGUUGUCCGUCGUGGCUGCUGUUGGCAGCAAGUAUGGGCUGAGGAUAACCUUCGGACUGCUUGUCCAAGGCCCCGGACCUUUGCGAAGACCGGAAAUGCAUUUCCGGAGCGUUUUUCGGCGAAAUCCGCCGAUAGAACGCGGUUUCGAUUCGAAUUUCUUCCGACGUCGUUUGGUUGCUCUGUGAGUGGUCGCUAAGCCUUGUUGGCUGGUCACCAUCAUCACUUUGUGGGUUCGGUGAUGACGGGUGAGCGACGGUGGGUUCCGGUGUCGAAUUUGACACUUCCGGGAACCCGUAUUCGUACAAUUAUCCGGCGAUAAUUGUGUCGCGGUGUUUAUCUUAUGUUUGCUGCCAAAACAUCCAAAUUGGAGUGUUUUCUGGCAGCAGAUGACUUGUAGCAUGGGUCGGUGCGUUUCGGGACAUUUCAGUGGUCCCGACGGAGUCCCGGUGCGAUUUUCGGGACUUCCGGCGAGUUACGGUAGUCGGUUUUGGGAAACUGAUCUCCGUGGGUUUGUUAGAGGGAUUAUGAUGUAGUGCUUCUUAGUUGUGGGUUAGACACUAACCCAGUGGAUCCUCCUUAGGUCCUGUUGACGUUCUUUUGCAGUCAGGUGACAGGCGCGACAGUUGUACAGGUGGGUACUUCGAUCCGACGUCGGUACAGUGGUGCACGCUCGGUGAUGGUUUCUUACCCUUGCUCCUUUGUUAUUAUCCAUGCAUACGUUAUAUAUUGAGCUUUGCACCUCUGUUGUUUACAUUACACCCACGUUGUUUGAUUAUACUCUACUCGUUGUUUGCAUGCUUAGUAUCCUGAGUAGGAGUAGAGUAGUUCUAUCCGCAUCCGUAUCGGUUGACCUAGUUGGUCUGUUGAGCAUCCGUAUCUGUUGACCUAGUUGGUCUGUUCUGCAUUCCUCUACUCAGUUAGUUCCAUAUUGAUAUCAUGCUUAGGAGUAGAGUUGACUUAUCGGUUCACUAUAUCUGUGAUUUGGUUGGGCGGUUCCCUUAUUUUGAUAUCUAUGACCUAUUCGGUCGAGUUGCUACAGUUCUAUCUUGACAUACGUAGCCGAUUAGUUGCUGAUGGCCUAUACGGUCGGUGUGCCCUGAGGGGCUGGAUUGUCGGCUAGUUGCCGAUGGAUGAUCUUUGAGCAUACUACAUUGAUCGCCACUGCAGGUACGCAUUUCACGAACACCAGCGGUCUGAUCCACCGCAAGAGGGUGUUCUUUUCCGGAAAAGUGGUUGGAUUGCCAACCCGUGAGCCCAGGGGCUUUAUUGCGAGGGUAUAUGCUUCUGACCCAGGGGCUUCAUUGCGAGGGUCAGGUACUGUGCUUCUGACCCAGGGGCUUCAUUGCGAGGGUCAGGUACAGGUUGAGCAGUGUGGCAUGGGCCUGAGGUCUUCGGACCAAUAGGGCAGCGAGAUUGGGUACUUUUGAGCUUAUCGUCAGUUGACGCAUGCAUACAGUAGCUGUAGUGUUUAUUUUCAGUACAUCCUUAUCUGUUUAUUGUAGCUACUGUUUUAUUUACCUGCAUCUAUACUUGUCAGCUCCUUACUUAUCAGCAUCUUUACUUACCAGCACUUAUGUCUAUCUAGUUCUCCGUGUUGUUGUAUAGCUCUCUUCCUGAUCCGGUGAGUACUCCUCGCCUUCUUCGGCUUGCGGUACCCACUGGGAGGGGAGACAUGUUUACAUGUUCUCACCUCCCCCACCAUUUUUCAGGUAUCGCGGGCGAUGAGUAGUGGGACGAGACGUGAGGUACGUGUGUAGCGGUCGAUAGAGCUUCCGACCCAGGUUAUUUCGAUUUAGUUAUUAUCCUUGGUAUUUCUGUUGAUAUAUAGUUUAGUUGGUUUAUGUGGUUCAGUAUUUAUUUACAUUUGAAAAUGUGGAUUUCUGGAUUUUGUAAAAUAAAAGGUUUUCUACCCCUCGUGGUAGCGUUUUUAAAAGAAUAAAGGUUUCUGUGUAGGAAACGGUUUUCAAAAGAUUUUUGUGGAUUUCUGUUUAAACCUUGAAUGUAAAAACUGUAAUGUGAAUGGUGAAUGUAUGAAUGUAUAGUUAUCUUUAUAUUCAUCUGGUUGUGGUUGUAUCCUGGUUGUACUGUGUAUUUGAUCGACGCCGUGCAAAUACAGGAGAGACUCUGUCCGUGUGAACAGUGGAUUUCCUGUAUUUGUGGCGGAUCUGGCAUACUCUGGGGUCAGGUUUUCAAAAAAAAAAUUUCAGACGCUUUUCCGCUUUGUUUUAAAUUGAAAAGGGAUCCCGGGGCGUGACAUUGGCUUUAAUAUAUCAACCCAUUUUAGUGACAUUUUGCUGCGUAAUUUACUGAUAAUCUCAAUUUCGAAAUCUACUUAAAAUAGUUAUAAAGUGCAGCAAAGUGAUUAAUGUAAUUUUUAAUGCAAAAGAUAAAUAACACACGGCCUACAUUAUAAGGAGGCUUUUGUGUUUAAGUAUUUCUUUUUUCGGAGUAAACUUUAAAUUACCCUCAAUAGUUUAGCUCAUUUUCACUUUGUCACACUGUAAUUUUAAAAGUUACAUUUUGCCUUUAUGUGAUUUAGCAUAUAUUUUUUAUUUUGCCAUCCUGUAAUUAAAAUUUUUUUAUUUUGUCACCAUAUUUCAUAUAGAAUUUUUGAUAAAAUAAAAAUUAAAUCAUAAAAGUAAGUAAAACUUUUUAAAUUACAUGAUGGCAGAGUAAAAAUAAACUAAAUUAUAUGGUGCAAUUUGAAGUUUACUUUCUCUCUCUUUUUUUUUUUGGGAAAACUUCGAAUACCAUUUCUGUGGUUUCGCAUUUUCUCAAUUUAAUACCCUGUGGUUUAAAGUGUAUCAUUUUCGUACACUGUGGUUUUAUUUUUUUUCUUUUUAUUAUUCUCUUUAUUAAUUUUUUUCAUUAAAUCAGUGAUAAAAUUAAAACUAAAAAGUACUAAAGUGAAUAUUCAAUAAACUAUAAGUGAGGUAUCUAAAGUUUUUUUUGUAUAUUAUUUAAUAAAAAGCUAACAAAAGUGCUAACAAAAAGAAAAAAAAUAAAAUUAUAUUGUAUUAAAUUUAUACACUUUAAAUUAUAGGUAAUGAAAUGAGCAAGUGCGAAACCACUGCAGUAGUAUUUGAUGUUUACUUCUUUUCUUUUCUUUUUUCUUUUUUCUUUUUUUUUUUUGUUUUUGCGCUUGUAAUUUCCAUUUUAUCCCUCGACCUCUUUCACCAUUAUACUGCGUACGUACGUCGUAGAGGUAAAAAUCUCUCCCCUUUCCUUUACCCGCCGCAGAUCCCCGAUCCCGCACCGAUCGGGGAUUAGGGUUUCGGCCGAGUCCCCCUUCUUCUACUUCCCCUUCGCCCCAAUUUGUUUCCAAGAGUUUGAGGUAAAUCGAGAUCGGGCACCCAAUUUUGUGUCCAAUUGGUUUAAAUUCCAAAUUCGGUGCUUUUUUCUCUGAUUUUGAUGGUUUUUUUAUCGUUUGGAGAUAAAAAAAUAUCGAAUUUUGGUGGGGGAGAGAGAUGGAGAUGGUGCUUAGAGCGGAGGACGCGAAGGAUUGGGUGUAGAAAGGAGAAGGAGCCGCUAAUCUCAUCCUCAGCUACCGCGGAUCUUCGCCUUCGCUGGUGAUGUGUUGCAUUGAGCUCUUUUUAAUGUUGUUUGUGUUCGAUUUGCUAUGUUAAGUUAUUGUUUGAGUGUUUAGAUGAUACUGUAAUGCUUAAUUUUGUAGAAUGUGCUGUAUUUAUGUGUUGUUUAAUUUGUUUCGUAUAAUCCAUUUGUUGAGAAAAAUAGACAAAGUGUGUGCAAAUAUGUUUGGUAGGGGUUGCAUCUCCCAACAUGAUCGACCAAGUAUAAAAUACCGUUCAUUGUAGCUUAAGCUCUUAAUUAAUUAAUUAAUAUUAAUUGGUUAGGGGAUAGGGAUAGGGAUAGGCCCUUAUCCCCCUUUAUACCCAAAUGCUAAUUUUUUAUCCGAGAACAGUAGUUCUCGGUUACCUAUAAUAACCGGUUAUAACUAUCCCCAUCAACACCUCUAUUUUCUAUAUAAAACUACCUAAUAUUUUUCUUAUUCCAUAUUAUCUAUCCAAACGCUAUUUUUCUUAUCCCCGGGAACAACCCAAUUUUCAUCCAAACGCUAUUUUUCUUAUUUCCAUACUUGUACCUAUCCCUGUAAUAGCUAGUUCUUGCUUUACCCGAACCAAACGGUACCUAACCGAACUAGUUGGAACCAUCUCGAUUCUUAUCCUAAACGAAGUAGUUAGAACGACCUCUGCAACCGAAGUAGUUGGAAUCAUCUCGAUUCUUAUCAUAACCGAAAUAAUUGGAACAACCUCUGCCUUAUGCGCAACGGUUGAAAUUUAUCCGGAUGGUUUGAUCAUCCCGAAUCAUGGCUCUCCAAUUUUUUAGAGGAACCAGUACCUGCUGGAUCUAAAACUGCAAGUGAGGAAACUGAGUCUUUUCAGUUUUCCUUAUGAACCACGUAGCGAUACUUGGCUUUUGACCUUUCCGUCCAACACGGAAGGAUUCACGUUCACCUUGCGUGUCGUUGUGACCUUACAUUCUAAGAUAGUAUUCUUAGCUAGCCGCUCUUUGCGUUUUACCACGAUUUCUUCCACGGAUGGCAGUACUUCUCCGAGCUCAUCGUCCAGUAUUGAUGGCUUGAAGGACUUUAGGUUUUCGACAUUGACGACCGAAUAUAUCUUCCUGUAUGUGGGCAACUCCAAUUAAUAAGCAUUCUCACCAAUUCUGCUUAGAAUCUUAAAAGGUCCAUAAUGAAUAGGUUUAAGUUAAUAAUAUAUUUGAAUAGUUCUGUAUUUUAGUAUGCUUAACAAUUUUCUAUUAUUUGAUAUUUUUUUUAGAUUGUGGGUGGCAAUACUAAUUCCAUUGAUGCAUUUUCUUCAAACCAUCAUCAAUCAUCGAAUGCAGGUUAUUAUCCCAGAAGUGAAGAAAACCAUCGCACUAUUUGAAAUCUUAUCAAUUAGUGAAAAUUCAAAUGUUGACUAUGUUUAAAACUAUUUAAACUUUGUUCUAUUUUGUGUUGCUACUAUUGGAUAUAUAUUAAAUGACGAUAUUGUGUUUUGGAUCAUAUGUUAAAGAAUUGGGUUGUUGCUUGUUGUGUUGCUACUAUUGGAUAUAUAUUGAAUGACAAUAUUGUGUUUUGGAUCAUUUGUUAAAGAAUUAGAUUGUUGCUUGUUGAGAAUUGUUCUAAGUUUUGUGUUAUUAAUCUAUUUUUGGGUAAAUGUUAUAUUAUUUAUUUUUUUGGUGAGAAAUGUAAUAUUUGAUUGUGGUAAUAUUUAUGAUAGUAUGUUUGUUAAUAAUUUAUAAUUUUUUGUUCGUAAAUGUAGAUCAAUAUAAAUAUUAAUAUAAUUUUUUACUAUAUCUAUAAGAUAAAGGUGGUUAAAACCGCCUCUACCAUUGAUUCUUCAUAAUAAUAUUUGUAGAGGUGGUUUAUACCGCCUCUACAGAUUAAAAUUUAUAGAGGCGGUUUGGACCACCUCUAAAGAUAAAUAUUUGUAGAGGCGGUUUAAACUACCUUUAGAUGUUAAAAUUUGUUUAAUAGACCGUGAAUAAAAAAUAUUAAAAAAAUAUUAAAUUAAAAUAUUGCGGCGGUCGAAACCAUCUCUAUAUACCAUCUCUAUAAUAUAGAGGCGCUGUCUACCGGCGGUCUAGAGGCGGCUGCAAAAACCGCCUCUACGGUCGCUAAAAAUCGCCUGUACAAGCGCCUUUUCCUGUAGUGAGAAUAGGAACCCCGGCCAGAGAGAGUUCUAGCCAAGAGCAAACCGAAGAAGUAAAGGCUGGGGCAGACCCUGUGUGGCCAAAUGGCGACUAAUAAGGCUGGUCGAGGUCACUGUUGGCCGAAGGGAGGCCACAGAGGCAGUGGCUGACAAUAGGGGGGGUGGUGCCAGUGUAGUGGGGGCCAAUCUGUCCGCACAAGCCAAAUCUGGCUUCCGAAUAUCUAGGUUCCUAGAAGCCCUCGGUGGUAGGAGGGGCAUUAUAGGAGGUUGCCAGAGGUAGGGAAAAGUAAACCGAGAGGGUGUCGUUAGAGGUUGCCGCAAGAACUCUAGCUCGAGUUUGGGCCAGAUUCUGGCUGGAGAAAAGCUUGGUGGUUACUGAGUAGAGCUGGAUGUAUUGUCGAAGGCCAAGAAGGCCGGUGGUAGCGUGGCGGCGUGGCGGUGGCCCUAGUGUACCCAAGAGAGAAAGAAAAAGAGAGAAUCUAGAUAGAUGGAGAGUGAGAGGAGGAUUACGAUCGAGCUUGCUAGCGGCUAGGGGAUCGGCCAGGGGAAAAUGCCGGCGAUAGGGCAGCAUAGUCUACCCUGAGGAGGCGGCGUUUGUGGGGAGAGGGGAGAGGGAGAGAUAGGGUUUACAAACCCUAAGUACAUAUAUAUAUAUAGAGUAGGUCUUGUGUGCUAUUAGGAGCACGGAGCCCUCCGUGCUCCUAAGCCGUUUUCAAUGAUAGAAUUUUCGAAUCGACGAUCGGCUCCGUUAGACUUGAUCUAGCGUAUUUGAAAUAUCUAGAAAAUAAAUUUUGCAAUUUUUCGAUAUCAUUUACCUAACGAUCGAAAGGGUUCAAAACCAACGGCUGAAAGUAAAAAUCUCAUAAAAAGUGGUGAUAGAAUACUAAAAUUUUCGAUCAAAGAUAUUGAUCUUGCUAUAGAUAGUAUAAAUAAUUUUCUAUCAAAAUUUUAUUUGAUUUGGAUGCUUCUAAACCGUUAAACUUGCAAACGGUAUACAUCAACCAUUAAAAAUUGUUGAUUUUGAUCCCUUUCGAUCGCUAGAAAAAUGAUACCGAAAAAUCACAAAAAUUAUUUUCUAGAUAGUUCAAAUAUACUAGAUCAAGUCUAACGGUACCGAUCGUCGAUUUGGAAGCUCCAUUAUCGAAAACGGCUUAGGAGAACGGAGGCCUCUGUGCUCCUAACAGCACACAAGACCUACUCUCUCUCUCUCUCUCUCUCUCUCUCUCUCUCUCUAUAUAUAUAUAUAUAUAUAUAUAUACACACACACAUACAUACAGAAUUGAGCUAGAAUACUUUUAGAAGCACCGCCACCUUGGUGCUUCUAAGUUUCUAUCCCUUGGAUCUAUUCCUUAAUUAUUAAUAGCCCUUGGAUCAAACAUUAUUCCACCUACCACCAUCAUCCUAACCCUACAUCUCUCCAUCCAAAGGCUAAAAACUCAAAAGCAUCACCUCCAUGGUGCUUUUGAGAGUAUUCUAACUCAACUCUCUCUCUCUCUCUCUCUCUCUCUCUCUCUCUCAUAUAUAUAUAUAUAUAUAUAUAUAUACACACACACACACAUACAUGUAUAUACAUACAUAUACAUACAUAUAUAUACAUACAUAUUGUUACGCCCGGGACCUAGCGGAAGCCUGCUCGGUGCGUGUCCAAACUCGCUAUGUGUCUACAACAUAUAAGGCGUCUACAACAAAACGAUAAAUAAAACGAGAAUAUAACAACAUCUAGUACGAUAUCAAAGCAUGAGUACGACUAAUCUCUAAAAGAUAAGUAGGAAAAUAAAAUUCAACAACUAUACUAAUCCAUAAUGUAUUACAUACAUCUCAAAAAUCCACAUGAAUAAAACUAAAUACAAAAGUGGUGGUCUUUACACAUCGGGUACAAAACGUCUCUCUCUCCAACUAAUACAAAAAGGAGAGAUAACCACCUAGUAGAAUCAUAGGGAAAACCGUUCUCGCCGGAGGCAGCCGAACCGGUGGUGCCGCCACAACCUCCUCCCGAGGCUCAACGAUAGGUGCAACUCGAGAAGUACCGAGAGCAAGGAUGGCGCCCUUGCUGUCGCAUCCUCAACUGGCGCAGGUGGUGGGGGAUCCUGAGUCUCAUUCGUAGGCUCGUAGCUGUCUGCUGAAGCAAUAAAUCCUCAAGUCGCUUCAUCCGCGUUUCUUGUCGGCGAGCCACAUCGACUUGUUGCUGAGUCGCCGCCUCCUGUUGUGCCACCAAAUCUGUAAGGACAGAUAGUUGGGUCCUCAACUCGCGGACCUCACUAGAUCCAGAGGUAGCAUAGGUCUCCACCUCCUCAAAGUUUGCUGCGUUGUCUGCUCCAGCUGACUUAGAGCGAGUUGUUGGCAUUACAACUACAACAAGCAUAACAAGUGCAAGUUAGUUAAAACCCACGCUAUCGCAACCCCACUCGAUGGAAAUAACACCCAAUCAUGCGAAAGUAAUAAAGUGUGCCUCACUACUAAUGUCACGCCCCGGAAUAACACGUUCCCCGGGCGCGCCGACAAAUCCACCGUAUACAAAGGAAUUUUCCCUGUAUACGAAGCGAUAGCUGUAUCUGUAAAUCAAACAAUACUACAAACAGUAGUAUAGAGCUGCUAGGAGAAACAGAAGAAAACCAAACCGAGUUCCAUAUACAUAUACCAGAAUCCAAAAUACAAAGCUACCCGCACUGGCGAGUUAAAGAUAGGUAAGUACAUGAACUCCAACAAAACAACUACCUGCAGUAGGGCACCUCUAGCACGGCUCGUUGGGUAGGGCUCUAACUCGCGACGCCCUUGCCUCGAUCCUGAUCCGCGGACGGUGCAGCAGCCGGAACCUGUGGCUCUGCAAAAACAUAGGUAACAACUGGGCGUGAGAACUACUGUAAAAACAAGUAGUCCUCAGUGGGUACCGCCCAAAACAACAUCGGUCACCCACUAAGUCUACAGAAGGGAGCAAGGAUAGAAGGAAAGCAGGAAGCAUACUCUACCGCUAUCAUCCACUACACUAUCAUGCUCUACACUAACCAACUGUAGGAAAUGUCCAAUCUGACCCAAUCCAAUCGGGACUGUAAGCAUACCCGUCCCCGGGACUGUGAAUACACCCGUCCCUGCCCUGUUGCGACUAUCGGGCUCUAUCCACACUAACUGGUCCGUGGAGAGCAAGUCCAACUGGCAUGAGCGACACCAACACGAAAGCACAUAGCCUGACUCCAGAGUGGCACUCGUGGGCGCUACCCAACCGAGUAUGCAGCGUAUCUCUGUCGAGCUCAAUCAGGCUCCAACUAGCCAAAGUCAAGAGAAUAGGGUCAAAACAGGUCUACAAACCAAACCCAUGUGCCCUCGGCACAAUCAGUGACCAAAACAAGAAUCUGGGUUCACCGCUAACCCGAACGGCACCUAACGACCCGAAACAGCCUAAACUUUGCUGAAAAAUAAGCUCGGCAUCCCAGCACGAGCGUAAAUGCCUUCUAAACUACCCCGGGUAUCCAUCGCACUGAUGCUGUAACGAUACAAUCGAAUCACGGCUCCUAGAGCUAAAUCUGGUAGUUUAAGCAUAUGACGGGUCAAAACGCAGGUUUUCUCCUAAGUCAAAUUUCAAGUCCAACAUGUAUAAUAUAAAUAUUCAUUUCAGCAUGCUUCUACAUUCAUAUUAUAUUCAAGAUGCUAAUCGAUGAAUUAAAGCAUGAUAUACAAAAAUCGAACUAUACACGUCGACUAAACAUGCACUUAGGAGCGAAACCGACGAUACACCCACCUCUAGUGAAAUUCCUGGCAGCAAGAGGGUCUCGGAUCAUAAGCAACACUGCUGGAAACACCUCCAAACCAGCAACAAGUCCCCCCAAAAUCUGGACAUUACAAUUCACCCAAAAAUCCAACAAAACCAUCAAUUUACCAAAAAUUUCAGCACUUAAGCUUAAUUAUCUCAAUUCCAAUAUCAAAACUCACCUAAUGAUAUCCAAUUCGGGUAAGAACAGAUCCAAAUCCAGCAAAUACUGAUGGGUGAUCAGUCUCAGGUCCAAGAUCCCACUGCCUACAAGGUUAGCAUCAAGAAAAGCUCAAACUCCUAAUUUUCAGCUCAAAGUCAACAGCAGUCCAGAAAAACCUCAGUUCGACCAAGCUAACCUCAUCCAAAAUCUGCAAUUCAGGCCUUCGUGGAUUCCUCUGGAAGUCUAAAAUCCAGAAAACCAACUUUCGUCGAAUUCCGACCUUCCUACGUCGCGCACGAGCCAAAAUACUAGAGGUCGUUGCUGAAGAACUGCAGAAUCAGCACCUUGAAAUUCUUGGAGAUGUGGAUCUUGAUGCAAAAUGGAAAGAUUGGAGGAAUUAGGGAUGUAAAAUCUAAGUCCUCUGUGAAGAACAGGUAAAAGAGCUCAAUGGGGACGUAUACCAGGUAUCUAUAGGCUGCUGGAGGGAUAAAAUAAGCCCCAGGAAAAACAGCUGCUAUCCAGUGUUCCUGCAGAAACGGGCGUUUCUGGGCGCCCGGAACCAUGUUCUGGGCGACCAGAACAUCCCGACUGCACAAAACGGGCUCCUCGGACUCUCCGCUCGCGGUGUGCUGCGCCCGUAAAUGGCUCCGGCGGAACUCACCUACCGCCCUGCCACGCGUCGAAGCAAGCGAUAUUCACGAUGUCGAAUUUCCGGACCCACAUCUGGGCGCCCGGAACAUGGGAUCCGAAUUGGCUUCCAGUUUUAGUUAAAUUCAACACUCAGUUCUGGGCGACCCUAAAAAUGUUCUGGGCGCCCAAAUCUGGCAAAACUCCAAUUUUGCUUAUUUGAGUGCGUCGAGUCCAAUUCUGCAUUCAAUUCGUGCGAAAUUGACUCCGACUCAGUCCGACACUCUCCAGAGAUGUCGACCAGUCACUAAUACUGAAGCCAAUCCUAUCCAAAACUCAGGAACACUACAUCUUCCCCCACUAAAAAAAGUUUCGUCCGCAAAACUGAACACAUACCUCAAUCUAGAGCCUCAAAUAGGUAGGGGUAGGACUCCCUCAUCACCGUCUCCGGCUCCCAAGUCGCUUCCUGCUCCUCGUGAUUACUCCACUGCACCUUUACAAAGGGUAUGACUCAGUUGCGCAAUUUCCUCGACUCACGAGCCAGAAUCCGCACCGGUCGCUCCUCGUAACUCAGGUCCUCGCCAAUCUCAAGCGGAGUGAAGUAAAUCACGUAGGAGGGGUCGAACACAUAUUUCCUCAAAGCCGAGACGUGGAAAACAUCAUGAAUGCCGGCUAGCCGUGGUGGUAGAGCAAUCCUGUAAGCAACUGGCCCGACUCGCUCCAAUACCUCGAAAGGGCCUACAAAACGUGGACUGAGCUUUCCACGUACUCCAAAUCGGCGAAUCCCUCGGGACGGCGAGACUUUAAGAAAAACAUGAUCUCCUACCUGGAACUCCAAGUCUCGUCUCCGGGUAUCAGCAUAGCUACUAUGUCGACUCUGGGCUGCUAACAUGUGCCGUCGCGCCUCCUUUACCUUUUCCUCAACCUCAAUCAGAAUCUCAGGCCCAAGCGUCCUCCUCUCACCCACAUCACUCCAAAACAAAGGGGAUCGACAUCUUCGUCCAUACAACGCCUCAAACGGAGCCAUCUGGAUGCUCGCUUGAUAGCUGUUGUUGUACGCAAACUCAACCAGUCUCAAAUGCCGAUACCACCCUCCUCCAAAGUCCAAGACACAUGCCCUCAGCAUGUCCUCUAGAGUCUGAAUGGUCCGCUCUGACUGACCAUCUGUCUGUGGGUGAAAUGCUGUGCUGAACUGCAACUGAGUGCCCAAGGCCGUCUGAAGACUCCUCCAGAAGUGCGAUACGAACCUCGGGUCCCGGUCGGAUACUAUCGAAGUGGGCACGCCAUGCAACCUCACUAUCUCAUCCAAAUACAACUGAGCGAGUCUCUCUCUGGACCAAGUGGUCUGCACUGGUAGGAAGUGAGCAGACUUGGUCAGUCUGUCCACUAUCACCCAAAUCGCAUCAAAACCACCCUGUGCUCUCGGCAAUCCGACGACAAAGUCCAUCGUGAUCUGCUCCCAUUUCCACUCGGGCACUGGUAGACUCUGAAGCUUGCCAGCAGGUACCUGAUGCUCGGCCUUUACCUGUUGACAAGUCAGACACUGAGCCACAAAUCUACCAAUGUCCCUCUUCAUUCCAUUCCACCAAAACUGAGCCUUUAAAUCCUUAUACAUUUUGGUUCCACCGGGGUGAACCGUAUAAGGUGAACAGUGAGCCUCUCUCAAGAUGUCCUCUCGGAUCUCUGAAUCCAUAGGUACACACAGUCGGUCCCUGUACCGCAGUACUCCCGAACUGUCCACAACAAAGCCCUCAGCCUGUCCCCUCUCAAGCUGCUCUCGAAUCCUCGACAAGUGUGGAUCCCCACUCUGUUUCUCUCGAAUCCUAUCUAACAGAGUGGGCUGCAAGAUCAUAGACAUCAAUCUCGCAGUAAAUCCAGGGGACACUACCUCGAGUCCCAGCCGUCUCAGCUCCUCGAGUAACGGUCUCUGCCGAGUGAUCAACAUACUCAAGCUCUGCACUGCCUUCCUGCUCAACGCAUCUGCCACCACAUUCGCCUUGCCGGGAUGAUACUGGAUACUGAUGUCAUAAUCCUUCAGCAACUCCAACCACCGGCGCUGUCUCAAAUUCAACUCCUUUUGGGUGAACAGAUACUUGAGACUUUUAUGAUCAGUAAAAAUCUCGCAGUGCUCGCCGUACAAGUAAUGCCGCCAGAGCUUCAAAGCAAAAACCACCGCGGCAAGCUCCAAGUCAUGCGUAGGGUAAUUCUUCUCAUAAUCCUUUAACUGCCGUGAAGCAUAAGCAAUCACCCUACCAUGCUGCAUCAGCACGCAACCAAGUCCACUGUGCGAUGCAUCACUGUAGAUCACAAAUCCUUCGCCCAUAACAGGAAGGGCAAGGAUAGGAGCCGACAUCAACCUCAAUCUCAACUCGUCAAAGCUCCUCUGACAGUCGUCGCUCCAGACAAAACGAAUCCCCUUCCGCGUCAAGCGCGUGAGGGGUGUGGAAAGCUUCGCAAAGCCUUCCACAAACCGACGGUAAUAUCCUGCCAGUCCCAGGAAGCUCCGUACCUCAGUCACCGUCGUCGGUCUAGGCCAAUCUCGAAUCGCCUCAAUCUUCUUCGGGUCCACUGCUACGCCCUCAGCUGAAAUCACGUGGCCCAAGAAAGCAACCUCCCGUAGCCAGAACUCGCACUUCUUUAACUUGGCAUACAACUUCUUCUCGCGCAGAAGCUGUAGCACAAUCCUCAAGUGCUCCUCAUGCUCAGCAUCACUCCGGGAGUAAAUCAGGAUAUCGUCGAUGAAGACUACCACAAACCUAUCCAAGAACGGCUUGAACACUCUGUUCAUCAAAUCCAUGAAUGCGGCAGGGGCAUUCGUCAAUCCAAAAGGCAUCACCGUGAACUCAUAAUGCCCGUACCGAGUCCGAAAAGCCGUCUUGGGAACAUCCUCGGCCCUCACCCUCAGCUGGUGGUAACCUGACUGGAGAUCAAUCUUCGAAAAGACACAAGAUCCUUGCAGCUGAUCGAAUAGAUCAUCAAUGCGCGGCAGAGGAUACUUGUUCUUGAUGGUCACUUUAUUCAGCUCCCGGUAAUCCACACAUAACCUGAGCGAACCAUCCUUCUUCUUUACAAAUAACACCGGCGCUCCCCAAGGCGACACACUGGGUCUCACAAACCCUCUAUCCAUCAGAUCCUGAAGUUGCGCCUUUAGCUCUCUCAGCUCUGCCGGUGCCAUCCUGUAAGGUACCUUUGAGAUUGGUGCAGUUCCAGGAACUACAUCAAUCACAAACUCAAUCUCCCUCUCCGGCGGCAACGUCGUCAACUCAGGGGGAAACACAUCCGGAAACUCGCGGACUACUGGGAUGUCCUCGAGUCUCGGCGCCGCCGUAGGUACCUCCACAACUGUCGCUAGGAAAGCGAUACACCCACUGCUCAGCAUCUGUCGAGCCCUCGCCGAAGAUAUCCAGGUGGCAAACAGCGUGCUCCUGCAGCCUCUGAAAGUAAACUCCUCCUGGCCUGGCUCGCGGAACGUCACCGUCCUCGCUCCACAGUCGAUCGUAGCAUAGUACCGCGCCAGCCAAUCCAUACCGAGCACUACGUCGAAGUCCUGCAGCUGCCCUAACACCAACAGGUCUGCGGGCAUGAUCCAAGAGUCUAACUGCACCGGACAGGACCAACAACACUCUGUAACCUGCAAGACAUGGUCGGGGAUCUGCACCUCUCGUGCCUGAGACAACGCUCCUAACUCUAGACCAUGCAACAAUGCAAAUGCUCGGCUAACAAAGGAAUGCGAUGCACCGGUAUCAAAAAGAGUGCGAACUCUAAUGCCAGAAAUCAAAGUGAUACCUGCCACCACUCGGUCGGCUGCUGAAGAGUCCUCCACCUGAGCUGCAUAGACCCUGCCACUCGGAGCCUGCUGUCGCCGCUCACUCGACCGCGGCACAGACGAUCUGUCCUCCUGGCGGUAGCUCGGUGCUGCUCCGUAAGACUGCUGUGGUGCUGGUGGUGCCGAAGCUGAUGACGGUGCUGGAGAUGCUGCUCGGGGACAAGCUGCCCUCAUGUGUCCCGGCUGACCACAUCCGUAGCACCUGCCCUCUCUCUGCUCGCACUGCCGAGGCCAGUGUGGUCCCCCGCAGAUCACACACUGUGGCGUCCUCUGAGUCUGCCCCUGCUGACGGGAUCCCCUGGAACGCUGACGCCCCGAAGACCCACGACCCUGAGAACGUGAUCGUGGAGGUCUCGGCGGACGUCUGCUGCUCGACUGCCCUCCGUCAUCUGGAAAGGGGCGCUUCCUGUCCUGACCCUGCCCCACGGCCUGAGUCCUCUCCUGCAGCGACACCUCACCUCUCUCCACCCAUAGGGCCUGCUCUAUGGACGCAUCCAGGGUCCUCGACCUCUGCGCCCGCACUAACCUGAAGAUGUCCGGUCUCAGCCCCUGCUCGAACAUGUAUACUCUGUGCGCCUCGUCUCUGGCCGCAAAUGGUACACAGUUCAGGAGUCGAGUAAACUCCCGAACGUACUCCUGCACUGGGCGAUCUCCCUGCUGAAGCCUCCUCAAAUCCUCCUCGAGCUUCUGCUUCACACUGUUGGGAAAGAACAUCCCAAACAGCAUUCCACAGAACUCAUCCCAACUCAGCUGCGCCGCCACUAGCCCCUGGUCUCGCCUCGUUCUCCGCCACCAGUCAUGAGCAUCACCUGCUAGACAGUGUACUCCCAGGGGUACCUGCUCCCCCUCUGGAACGAACAGAUCCUCGAAUAACUUCUCCAUCGCACUGACCCAUCCCUCAACAAUCCAGGCCUCAGUGCCUCUGCCAUCGAAGAUCGGUGGAUCAAAUCGGCGAAAACGAGCUAACCUCUCCGUCCACCGCUCCUGCUCGGCCUCAGUCAACGGUACUGGCCCCCUAGCAGGCGCAACUGGCGCUACUGGAACUGCUGCCGAUGGAGGAACUGCUGCAGCUGGUGCUGUCACUGGAGUAGUCGGGGGUGGAACUGGCGACUCUGGUGCCCUCGGUACAGAACUCGGUGGCUGAGCUAUCCUCUCACACAACCUCUGCAAUAGCUCCCCCUGCUGUCUCGUCACCUCAGUCAGGGCAGCCAACUGUGCACUCAAAUCUGGGGAUGCACUCGCCUCCGGUCGGGCCCUCUGCUCUACAACUGGGGGUGCACUCGCCUCUGCCUGCUCAGGCAUCUCGGGAGAUCUAGCACGAUCCUGCGCCAACUGCGCACGCUCCCGCAACGACGGUCGGCCUCGGCGACGAUACAUAGCUGAAAGGAACAAAUCGGGGUCAGAUACAACGCAACACUCUCGACCCAAUCAACGAAAGUCUAGAAGGCGGUCCCUGUUUUCCUCCAAAAUUAUGUCGUCUGCAGCCAACAUAAUUUCUCAGGCCAAAACAGAAACUCCUUCAGUCACUCACUCUACUCUAAGAGGAGUUAAAACAAAUAAUCAUUGACUUUCGCAAUAAAAUUACGCCUCUCACGUCUUGCUUCCCUAAGGUUUGCCAAACUUAGGUUUCCUAGGUCCCCACGACCUACAGCAAAGCUCUGAUACCAACUUAAUCUGUCACGCCCCGGAUUACACGUUCCCCGGGCACGCCGACAAAUCCGCCGUAUACAAAGAAAUUUUCCCUGUAUACGAAGCGAUAGCUGUACCUGUAAAUCAAACACUACUACGAACAGUAGUAGAGAGCUGCUAGAGAAAACAGAAGCUAAAUAAAACAGAGUUUCAUAUACAUAGUUCAGAUCCAAAAUACAGAGCUACUCGCACUGGCGAGUUAAGUCAACUAUGUACAUAAACUCGAAACAAAACAUCUACCUGCAGUAGGGCACCUCUAGCUCAGCACGUCGGGUAGGGCUCUAACUCGCGACGCCCUUGCCUCGAUCCUGGUCCGCAGACGGUGCAGCAGCCGGAACCUGUGGCUCUGCAAAAACAUAGGUAACAACUGGGCGUGAGAACUACUGUAAAAACAAGUAGUCCUCAGUGGGUACCGCCCAAAACAACAUCGGUCACCCACUAAGUCUACAGAAGGGAGCAAGGAUAGAAGGAAAGCAGGAAGCAUACUCUACCGCUAUCAUCCACUACACUAUCAUGCUCUACACUAACCAACUGUAGGAAAUGUCAAAUCUGACCCAAUCCAAUCGGGACUGUAAGCAUACCCGUCCCCGGGACUGUGAAUACACCCGUCCCUGCCCCGUUGCGACUAUCAGGCUCUAUCCACACUAACUGGUCCGUGGAGAGCAAGUCCAACUGGCAUGAGCGACACCAACGCAAAAGCACAAGCCUGACUCCGGAGUGGCACUCGUGGGCGCUACCCAACCGAGUAUGCAGCGUAUCUCUGUCGAGCUCAAUCAGGCUCCAACUAGCCAAAGUCAAGUGAACAGGGUCAAAACAGGUCUACAAACCAAACCCACGUGCCCUCGACACAAUCAGUGACCAAAACAAGAAUCUGGGUCCACCGCUAACCCGAACGGCACCCAACGACCCGAAACAGCCUAAACUUCGCUGAAAAAUAAGCUCGGCAUCCCAGCACGAGCGUAAAUGCCUUCUAAACUACCCCAGGUAUCCAUCGCACUGAUGCUGCAACGAUACAAUCGAAUCACGGCUCCUAAAGCUAAAUCUGGUAGUUUAAGCAUAUGACGGGUCAAAACGCAGGUUUUCUCCUAAGUCAAAUUUCAAGUCCAACAUGUAUAAUAUAAAUAUUCAUUUCAGCAUGCUUCUACAUUCAUAUUAUAUUCAAGAUGCUAAUCGAUGAAUUAAAGCAUGAUAUACAAAAAUCGAACUAUACACGUCGACUAAACAUGCACUUAGGAGUGAAACCGAUGAUACACUCACCUCUAGUGAAAUUCCUGGCAGCAAGAGGGUCUCGGAUCAUAAGCAACACUGCUGGAAACACCUCCAAACUAGUAACAAGUCCCCCCAAAAUCUGGACAUUACAAUUCACCUAAAAAUCCAACAAAACCAUCAAUUUACCAAAAAAUUCGGCACUUAAGCUUAAUUAUCUCAAUUCCAAUGUCAAAACUCACCUAAUGAUCUCCAAUUCGGGUGAGAACAGAUCCAAAUCCAGCAAAUACUGAUGGGUGAUCAGUCUCAGGUCCAAGAUCCUACUGCCUACAAGGUUAGCAUCAAGAAAAGCUCAAAAUCCCAAUUUUCAGCUCAAAGUCAACAGCAGUCCAGAAAAAUCACAGUUCGACCAAUCUAACCUUAUCGAAAAUCUGCAAUUCAGGGCUUCGUGGAUUCCUCUAGAAGUCUAGAAUCCAGCAAACCAAGUUUCGUCGAAUUCCGACCUUCCUACGUCGCGCACGAGCCAAAAUACUGGAGGUCGUCGCUGAAGAACUGCAGAAUCAGCACCUUGAAAUUCUUGGAGAUGUGGAUCUUGAUGCAAAAUGGAAAGAUUGGAGGGAUUAGGGAUGUAAAAUCUAAGUCCUCUGUGAAGAACGGGUAAAAGAGCUCAAUGGGGACGUAUACCAGGUAUUUAUAGGCUGCUGGAGGGAUAAAAUAAGCCCCAGGAAAAACAGCUGCUAUCCAGUGUUCCUGCAGAAACGGGCGUUUCUGGGCGCCCGGAACCAUGUUCUGGGCGACCAAAACAUCCCGACUGCACAAAACGGGCUCCUCGGACUCUCCGCUCGCGGUGUGCUGCGCCCGUAAAUGGCUCCGGCGGAACUCACCUACCACCCUGCCACGCGUCGAAGCAAGCGAUAUUCACGAUAUCGAAUUUCCGGACCCACAUCUGGGCGCCCGGAACAUGGGAUCCGAAUUGGUUUCCAGUUUCAGUUAAAUUCAACACUCAAUUCUGGGCGACCCUAAAAAUGUUCUGGGCGCCCAAAUCUGGCAAAACUCCAGUUUUGCUUAUUUUAGUGCGUCGAGUCCAAUUCUGCAUCCAAUUCGUGCGGAAUUGACUCCGACUCAGUCCGACACUCUCUAGAGAUGUCGACCAGUCACUAAUACUGAAGCCAAUCAUAUCCAAAACUCAGGAACACUACAACUAACUCCCGAUGUUACGUUGUCGGCCGCCAACGUAAUCCUCCGUGAAGUUAGAAGUUGCACAUUUCGAUUAAACUCCAACAUUUUAGAGUUAAUUAAAAAUCCAAUCAUAAUACUUUCGUUCACAAGUCAAAUAGACCCUGUCUCUCACGAGCCUAUUUCCUAUAGUCCAACCAGCCUAAGGUUUGCUAGAUCCACUAAUACUCAACCCUAGGCUCUGAUACCAAUAUAAUCUAUCACGUCCGGGACCCAGCGGAAGCCCGCCCAAUGCAUAUCUAGACCCGCCAUAUGUCUACAACAUAUAAGGCGUCUACAACAAAACGAUAAAUAAAACGAGAAUAUAACAACAUCUAGUACGAUAUCAGAGCAUGAGUACGACUAAUCUCUAAAAAUAAGUAGGAAAAUAAAAUUCAACAACUAUACUAAUCCUUAUUGUAUUACAUACAUCUCAAAAAUCCACAUGAAUAAAACUAAAUACAAAAGUGGUGGUCUCUACACAUCGGGUGCAAAACGUCUCUCUCUCUCCAACAAAUACAAAAAGGAGAGAUAACCACCGAAUAGAAUCACCGAGCUAUCUAGCUAGAUGCGACCCCCUUGCCGUGAUCCCUAGCCUCUCUCGGCGUGGAUGGCUCUGUAAACAAAAAUAUCAAUAAUAUAGGAAUGAGAACUAUUAGUCAAUAGUUCCAAAUGGGUAAACCGCCGAUAUCAGCGAAAUACACCACUAAGUCAUGGAGGCAUGAGUAGUAUGAAUAUAACUGAAUAAUCAACAUGAAUAUUGAGCAAGUAAUAAGAUUUACUAAACUACUAUAUCUCUACUUAGCAUAAAGUUUCACCAUUAUUAGAGCUAUUCUAAUGAAUGAGCAUGUCCAAUGAGUUCAACUAAUAUACACUAUCUAGUAGUGAUUGUCACAUUAUUCCUUUAAAUGUCAUUGUUCAAUUCCAAUUGGGACCUACACAAGUGUAGUCCGGCUUGUGCCGCCUAAUGGUCUCGUGAUAGUCAACAUUUUCUCCUCUAGGAAUGAGCCUUUCCCACGGCAACCCAGUAGGCACCCAAUCCCGCACGGGCAAGCUUAUGUUGUGUAGGCCAACUCCGGAGUGCCGGCUUGUAGGGAGCAACCCUCACAAGUAUGUGCGAAAGAGCACAAUGGCAAAUAAGCAUGAUCAUCCCAAUCAAGUUCUUGGUCAUCAUGUCUAAAACAUGAUACAAGUACUAACGACCCAUAUGUCGAUCUCUAUGUCAUAAUGUAAAGGUUUAACCGUUUACUAAGUCAAGUGUCACUAUAUGACAUUAAUGUUCACUAUGUCAAGCAUAAGUCAUUUGUCCAUGAGUAUGUAAAAUUUGUCAUUUCACUAAAUAAAACAUGAUUUCUAGCAAGGUAUAAAGAGUGUCAUUCCACAUACAAGUUUACGAUGCAUUUCUCUCUCUACUACAUAGAGGCUACAAAGCAUAACAUAUAACAUGUAUAUAUUAGGCAUUCAAAAAUUUAUUUAUACUCUAUCUAGCAUGAAUAUGCAUGAUUUUUUAUUUUACAAUAAAAAUAAUGACAUAGGAGGAGUUCACCCAUUUCGGUGAGGUCGAACCCACCGGAUACCCCUCGAAACCCUUUUGUUUGCGCGAACGGAAUUGCCCACUAGUCUUCUAUCUCCCUAACAAAAAUUUCAAGAGGGUUAGGGGUUUCAAACAAACACCCCAUGAAAUCCUUAAAAAUCAACCCACAAGUAGGUAGAAAACACCUUGUAUGGUUAAGAACUCUCCCAAAGUUCCAAUGAGAGCUAGACCACUUCAAUUCCAACCUAAAGGAAGGUAUUGGAACCAACAAUUUAGUCUCAUAGACUCUACCAAGAGAACCCCCAAAACAAAACCCUAGUUUUCCAAAACUAGGUUUACAUCCCAAAAACCCAUCAAAGCACAAUCCAAAGGAGUAAUCAAAGCUACUAACCUUAUAUAAAGUCCCAAACCAAGCUAGAUAAGUGCUAGGGUUGGAGAUCUUUCCUCAACAAAGCUCUAAUCUUCCCUCCAAAGCUUCUCCAAAGUCCAAGUAUCAACACCCAUGAAGAAGAAGAAGAAGAAAAAGGAGAUCAAUCUACAAGAUCUCUAGCAAAAAGGAGAGAAAAUCAAGAGAGAUGGAGAGGAGAGGUUUAUCUCACUUCUCCUCUGGUUCCAGCACAAAAGAACCCCUCAUGGGGGUAUGAGGGAUUAUAUAGAGAUGUAACAAUCCCAAAAAGACCCCUAAAAAAUAAUCAGUCUGCAAACAACACUGCGUACCAGUAGGCGGGCAGGAGUACCAGUACCUGGCAACCGAACGCGCAAACCCGAGCCUCUGUCAAGCGAGCAGCUCGCAGUGUACCGAUACCCGUCCGAUGCAGUACCGGUACUAGGCUCCAGUACCGAUACUCGGCGGAGUCAGUACCGAUACUCAGCCUCCCAGAGCUCAAACCCGAGAGCACCCCUCUCAGUUACGCGACGGGGUUCUGGUACCUCUCUGUGGUACCAGUACCCAGCACCCCAAAACCUGCAGUUUGCAAAUUUUGGUGCUAAGUACCCACUCUCGCUUCUCAAGACAUGAGUAAAUAGAUUGGAAUACCGUCCACGACCCUCGAACACUCCAAGAAUAGUACUAAAUAGUAUUCAGGGACGAAACUUUCUUUAAGGAGGGGAUAAUGUGAGGACUGAGAAUUUUGCUGUGUAGUUAAACUCUAUGUUGACAAUAUUUUUGUGUGUAUUUUAAUUAUAUAAUCACUCGUCAAGUUUCGAGAAAAAACGAGUUAGGAUGGAGAUUUUACACGAUCUUAACUUUUCACUUAAAGUGAAUAGUAACUCAGGUUUUCUGAGAGGCCAAUGAGAAAAGAUGGCUUAUGGCGUGUAUCAAACUCUGUUCAAGGUGAUCCAAUAGCUCGUUUUCAAUGAUCCGACUAUCCUGGAUCCAAUGGCACUGAAGGAUUUUGGUUUUGAUGCACGAUUUUUGAGAAAAUUAGAUUUUAUCACAAAGAGGGUUUUUGUUCUUUAUCAUUUUUGCUUUUUAAAAUUUCUCGUUGCUCCGUUUUGCAUGUCGACCCUUGGGCGAGGACCCUUCUACGAGAAAAUGUUUACGUCAAGGGACUUUGGUUGCAUUUUCACUAAUUGGAGGGUCUUGGAGGCAAUUAUUAGGUAUAUAUAUUUAUACUUUUGUGUGAUUUUGGAGAAUCGAAGAGAUAAUGGAUUUUACCACGACUCGGUGACCAAUUCGAACAAGGCAAAAUUGUGGGUUUGAUGUCUCGGUCGUGUUGAACGCGCUGGUGCAAUUCAUUCGUAAAUCUGACGGACGGAUCUCUUGAUAUCGCGCGGGGAUCGAGGAGGGGUCAUAAGUGGUGAAACGAAAAUUUUGUGAAUAGCCCUACAUUUUAUGGAGUCUAUGUACUAUCCUAUUAAUAGGAUUGAGGACAUUGUCCUAUCAAGUCGCUUUGAAUGAUCGGAACUUCAAAUUGAUAAUCGACACUGUUGAAAUUGAUCUACACAAUUAGAAAUGUUUAGAAAACAAAUUUUGUAAUAUUUAAAAAUCAUUAUCAAGUUCAUCGAAAAGUUGAAAAAUGAACAGUCAUAAACGAAUAACCUUCUUAAAAUAGAGGUUAGACUUUCUCAAUUCAUAAUCAGAGUUAUCAAACAUUAUCUAAAUAGUACAAAGAAUUUUCUAUCAAAACUUCAAGCAACUUGGAUUGCUCUACACCGUUAAACAAGCAAACGGCUCAUAUAGGCCGUAAAAAAUUGUCAAUUUUACGACACUUUGAUCACCAUGUAAAUCAUUUUUAAAAUUUAUGAAAUUUAGUUUCUAAAUAUUUCAAAUACUCUAGAUCAACUUCAACGGCUCCAAUCAUUGAUUCGAAAUCUCGAUCAUCAAGAACAACUUGAUAGGACAAGUGCUACUAUCCUCUUAAGAGAAUAGUAGCCUAGCCACAUUUUAUAUAUCGAUUUGUGUGAAAUCGAACAUAGAGAUAUGUGUACGCUUUUUACACGUGCUGUGGAUGGCCUAGUUGUAAAUUUGCAAAGACGAUGGUGUUUCCUGCAUCUUUACACCUUGAUAUAUAAUAGGUCAUCUAGGGUUUGCAUGGUGCAAACCCUAACCCUAUCUUCAUCUGAACCCCCAGCCGCCUCUCCUCCCUUACCCUCGUGCGCCGCGCGCCUCCCGGCCACCGCCGACCAAACCCCGGCUGGCUAGCUGCCGCCACUGCCACCUUCUCCUUCCUCUCCAUCUCCUCCACCACCUUCCUCUAUAUCUUUCUUGGCCGAGGAGUGUGCAUGGUGGUUCCUCCCCUCAGGCCCCUCUCCGGCGACACCCCUUGGAGCUCCAGCGACCCUCUCCACUCACCGCCGUCAUCCCCGAGCGUCGCCGCCGCCAUCACUGCAGCUUGUGGCCAGUUUUAGGUUGGUGCAGCCGAGUUUUGCCGCGUCGCCUCCCCAGUAGCCGACGACCGCCCCUGUCCCUUCCCCUAGGUCCCAGAGGAGACUCACGCCCCUCUCCUGGCUACUCCGACCUCCGCCAUGGCCGUAGAAGGGGGGAGCCAGAUCUGAGUUGUGUAGGCUCAGGUUGCUCCAGCGCUGCUGCUGGCACCUCCCGCCGCCGACUAGCGCGAGCCCCGGCUUACCCCUGUCGGUGGCAUCCCCCUGUCGCUGGGGCGCCCAACGCUGUGCUGCCGCCGGCCGUGCUCGGGUCUCCCUGUCCUGUACUGGCCCGGUUAGGCUGUUUCCAGUCCAUUCUAGGAUUUUCUUCACUGUUCCGGCGACCCAAGACCUCCUCGCUGCCUCCGAAGGUGAGCACAGUGAUCCCCGGUCAGUGUUGAUCACAGUGAUCCCCGGUCAGUGUUGAUCACGGUGCUCACCUUAUUCGAGGUCUACGAGGAUUGGAUCUGCGGGUUCGGCUUGAUUUACUCCUCGUGCGCGUUGUUCGUUGAGGUUCAGCUCGCUCCCACGCUUCCUACAGUGACCCGCGGUGCUCCGAACAACGAGCACGGCCUUCGCCUAGUCGAUACCCGUCAGCCUGUGUCUCGGCUGACCUUGAAAAUCAUCGGUUUGCAGUAAAGAGCCAUCUAACCUCACUUUUUACAUAAAAUAAUAGAAUUUGCUUGAAAUAUUGGGGGCUUUUAUGCAAAAUUGAGAGAUUUUUUAUUUUAAUUUGGCUAAAUUACAGAAAACCCCGCUGUCAAAACCCGAUUUUUCACUUUCCCAUCCUGUCAUUUAAAAACCUAUACUUUGCCCCCUUAUAAAAUGAAAAAUAUGCACUUCACCCCCUACCGUUAGAGAUCCAUUAGGGUUCCGUUAUAAAAUACUUUUUUAUGCCAAAAAUACCCCUCCGCCCUCUUCCCUGUUGCUUCGCCUCCCUUCGGCUCGCCGUCUCACCGCCUCGCCCUCCUCCACUGCCUUGUCCUCACCCUCGCCCACAUCCCCUUCGCACUCCUCCGCCGCCUCGCCUUUGCCCUCGCUGCCCUUGCCUACCUCUCCAUCAGCGCUCACCUCGAUUUCCUCCCUACUAUCACCGAAAUCGAGGGACGGCGAGGGUGCAGGAGGAGAAGGGAAGCAGGUGGAGAAGAAAAUGGAGAGAAAUCGCGGCCGAUCGAGGUGUGAAUCGCAGCCGAUCAAGGCGGCGGUUGAGGAAGAUGAGGGAGGAGACGAAAAUAGUGAGGGUCAAAAUGGUCAUUUUACACACUGUACUCCCCCUGUGAAUAUUUUUCAUUUUACAAGGAGGCAAAGUGUAGGUUUUUAAAUGACAGGGGGGGGAAAAUGAAAAAUCGGAUUCUGACUGGGGGAUUAUGUAAUUUAGCCUUUUAAUUUUAUAGGAUUUUGAAUUUUGGGUUUAGCCUUUUAGAGUUUAGAAUCAUAAGGUUUAGGAUUUAGGAUUUUAGAAUUUUUUUUUUUUUUUUAAUUUUUUAGUGCAGCACUCUCAAACCUAAAAUUCUAAAAUCAUAAAAACUAAAUUCCUAAAUUCUAAACCAUAAACGCUAAAUUCUAAAUCUUAAAAUCCUAAAUUCUAUUCCCUAAAUUCUAAAAAAUUAAAGUGAAUAAGUUAAAAGUGUAUGGCGUACCUGCGACUAAUGACUUCCGCUGUUUUUCUAAUAUCACUAAAGCAGUAGACGACACUACAAAAAAAAUUAUUUUAGACGACGCUUUAUUCUAACGCCUUCAAUAUUUGGCAUGUGCCAAUACCAUGAUUAAGCGUCACCAAUAAACAUAUUUUUAUCAAAUAUUGAUAAAAAAAUUUCGAUGCUAUAUUAAAGCGCCGGUAUAUUUAUCCUAACAUAUUUACUUAACGACUCUCUAUUCAACGCUUUUACAAGCGUCAGGGUUAUUCUUACCGACGCUUUAAAACUUUGCUAUAUUAUUAUUUAAAAUAUUGUUAAAUACAAGAUUUGUUGUCCUCAUAACUAUAAAUUCAUUAAGUAGAAUAAAUUUGAAAGUCAAAUUACUGUUAACUGACUCAACAAAUUGAAAGAUUAGGCAAUAAUGUGACAAUUUUGAAAGGUAUAACUGACUCAAAAUGGCUCAUAAUACAAAUAAAUGUUAUACAAAUUUUGAUUUUUUAUUUAUUUAUUUAUUUAUUUGCGUUGAGAGAGGACAUCACGAAAAUAUUGCCCUCAGCUCCUAAUUGGCUUAUAUCCUCAAUCUAGACCUGUGAGACCCCAAUAGUCGUACAUUGGAUAGUUAUGGCUAGAUAUGGGAGUAUAUAAACUUGAUUGGGUUAGACAUAAUAACUGAGCUUAAGUAUUUUGGGCCGGUGGUUUUGGCCCAACGAGUUAUUAUUGCUAGUUGGUUGGAUCGUUACAUUUGAUAUAAACUUGAUUGGGUUAGACAUAAUAACUGAGCUUAAGCAUUUUAGGCCGGUGGUUUUGGCCCAACGAGUUAUUAUUGCUAGUUGGUUGGGUCGUUACAUUUGGUAUCAAAGCCAGUUCACCAGCCGAAAGUGUGAGAUGAGUCUUGGCUAAGCCAGAGUCGGUGUUUGACAGGCUAAGUUAGGGUUGGAAUGACAGACUAAGUCAGAGUCGGUGUUUGAUAGGCUAAGUUAAGAUUGCAAUGACAAAGGCUAGUGAGACAAGUCUCACAUCGCCUGGUGAUCUUAAGCUGUCUGUAUGUUUAAGGCUGACGAGGACGUCAGGGACUAAACGGGAGGAGUCUGUGAGACCCCAAUAGUCGCACAUCGGAUAGUUAUGACUAGAUGUGGGAGUAUAUAAACUUGAUUAGACUAGACAUAAUAACUGGGCUUAAGCAUUUUGGACCGAUGGUUUUGGCCCAACGAGUUAUUAUUGCUAGUCGGUUGGGUCGUUACAUUUGAUAUUAGAGCGAGUUCACCAGCCGGAAGUGUGAGAUGAGUCUUGGCUGAGCCAGGGUCGGUGUUUGGUAGGCUAAGUCAGGAUCGGAACGACAGACUAAGCCAGAAUCGGUGUUUGACAAACUAAGUCAAGGUAGAAAUGACAAAAGCUAGCGAGACAAGUCUCACAUCGCCUGAUGAUCUUGAGCUGUGUGUAUGUUUAGAGCUGACGAGGACGUCAGGGCCUAAACGGGGAGAGUCUGUGAGACCCCAGUAGUCGUACAUCGGAUAGUUAUGAUUAGAUGUUGGAGUAUAUAAACUCAAUUGGGCUAGACAUAAUAACUGGGCUUAAGCAUUUUGGACCGAUUGUUUUAGUCCAACGAGUUAUUAUUGCUAGUCGGCUCGGUCGUUACAAGAUCAUUGUAUAGAUUGCGAAAAAGAUUGCCAUACCGUGAUUUAAAAGUUACACUUUGAUAUCAUUUAGUUUUAUUUGUAUUUUACCAAAAAGAAUCUAUUAUUAAAUAAAAUAGUAAAAUAAAAUAUAUUUUACAAAUUGCAAAAUAAUAAAAUAUAAAGGAUGGAAUUGUAAUAUAUUAUAUUUCAUCAUUUGGUCAUUAGCUAUAACAGUAGGUCCUCGAGUAGGGCUAUUGUACUAUUAGGAGUACAGUAGACCUUAUACUUCUAAGUUCGUAACCAGGUUAGGUUGAAAGAGAGAUGAGAAAUUGGGUGCCCAAACCAACAAACCAAAUUUUAAUCUUGUAUCUAUUAUUGUUUCAGUAUUAUUUAUACUCUAUUGGCAGCAUUAAAUAAUAAUUUGAUUGCAUAUAUUUUUCUUGAAAUUACAUUAUUGAAAUCAAACUUUUAAAAUUAUUUGGCCAUCUAUUUGCUAUUGAACCGAACCCAUCACACAUGAUUAAUCUCAUGAUUUUAAGUUUUAGCGUAUCUCAGAACUUAUGGGGGAGCUCUUUAUCUGCUUGAUAUAAAUUUUGGUAUUAUGAUUAUUCUCGUAUUUUUACCUCUUUUAAUCCUAGUGUUCAUCUUAGAAACGACUUUGGUAAAUUCUAAGGUUGGCAGAUAAAUUAUAUUGAGACAUAAAUUUAUUAAAUGGUUUUUUUUUUAAUGUUUUUUUGGAGAGAAAGGUAGCAUGCUACCCGCUUCGUUUAUUUCAUUUUAGAAAUAAACUUAGCUGAAAAUGUGAAUCAACUAGGAUUCGAACUUGGGUCUCGGGUACCAACCACCAAGCCCUUUGCCACUUGCUCUAGGGACGGUCGGUGUUAUCUCCAACUUAAUGUUACUUAUUUGAGUUGGAGAUUCUCUCCAAUUUCUUAUCUCUCUCUCACCCUAGCUAACCACCCAUCAAAAUUUAUGAAUGAUUAGAAAUUUAGAAGCACAACGAUUACUGUGCUCUUAAUAGUAUAAUAGCGCUACUCGUAAGUCCUUAGCAUGAAAAUAUAAACGAAAUAAAAGGCAAAACAGCCAAUAGUGAAAUAUAGCAUUUUAAGCUUAUAGUACGUGUGGUAAAGUUAAAAAAUGCACUAAACUACAAGAGGCAAAUUGAAAAUUUGCCCUAAAUAUAUAAAGGGCACAAGACAAGAAUAUAAUACAUAAACCCAUAAUUAAGUGGCCUUAAUCCAUAAUUAAGUUUUGAUAAUUACAACUAGUGAAGUAUUAACAAUUUACUUUUGAGUUUGCUUUUUAUGAUGUGAUUUAUUGGAAGAACUGAAAGAAGACUUAAAGCAAGGAGGAGAAAAGUUUCAACCCAAAAAGAAGCUAGUUGUUGCUUCAAAUGGUCAAAUGCACCGUACUCCUUCGAUUCUUUAGUACUUAAGUUGUAUUAUAAUCACGUAAGCUUAAGUUUGAGAGUUUUAAAUGUGAUCUAAAGUAAGUAUUUUCUCCAUCUAAGAGCACAUAUCUAUAGUUAUUAUUAUCUAUAUCUAUACCUAUACAUAAAUUCUCAUGGCUAAAUCUACAUGGGUGUACCAUCUUUAUUUGAGGGUUGUGGAAUCCACUAUUAUUUUUUAUUUUUUUAUUCUCUUCAAUUUUAGUACAACUAUUUUCUCUCGCACAACCACCUUUUCAACCCUCUUUCUCUCUCCUUUUUUUCCCUCCCAUCUCUUGUUUUUUUUUUUUUUCUCAUGAACCAACAAGGCGCCGCUCCCUCUUUCUUUACCUCACUUAUAGAGCGAUUAUGGAUCUCUCAAUGUAUAAUUUUAUGUUUUCUUUUUUCUGUCCCCUUUUUUGUCGCUCGCCGCUCAGAGCCUUCCGACCCCAUUUGUUGCUCCUCAUGCGUCCUUAACAAAGACGACUCAUGAUGCCGUCACCAGCUAUCCUAUUCUCAACAAUUAUAGGAUAUCAAUAUUCUUAUGUUCUCAUUUUUUUUUAUAAUUUUUUUUUUCAAUUAUCUACCUGUCGCAUCGCGCAGGUUAUUUCACUAGUUAUACAUUAUUCCUCCUAAAUUGCCACAAGGCAACAUUCACUUUAUUUGUUGAGCGUGAUCCACAUCGAACCGGCUCAAGUUUUCUACCUUUUUUUCCUUUUUUUGCUCGAGCCGAACCGAAUUUUUCUUUUUCUUUGCUUGAACCGAACCGAUCAUUAUUGAGUGUGGGCUCCCCCAAAGCAGCUCAAUUCUUCCACGUGUUUUUCUCUUUCUCUGCAUGAACCGAAUUUAAUUUUUCUCUUUCUUUACUUGAACUGAAUCGGGUCAACUUGUUGCAUUGGGCCAAACUGGCCCAGCUACUCCACAUGUUUCCAUCUUCGAAUCGAAUUUUUUCUUUCUUUCUUUGCUUGAACCAAACCGAUCACUAUCGAGUGUGGAUUCUACCCGGAACCGGUUCAAGUUUUCCUUUUUUUUUUUGCUUAAAUUGAGCUGAAUUUUCCUUUUUUGCUUGAACAGAACCAAGUCACAUCUCUAUAGUGGGCUACUAGAGAACGGUGUUUUUAUAUUUUAUAUUCAAUAAUUAAAUAAGAUUAGGGGCUUAAUAGAAUUCGAAGACAGAAUCUCCUUUUCUAAUACGAUGGGAAAUAAUGUGAAACGAUUAUUGUUCUCUAACAUAGCGUUUGGUUCGGGUAUAAGCAAAAAAUAACUAUUACACGGACAGGUACAAGUAUGGGGAUAAGAAAAAUAGCGUUUGGAUGAAAAUUAGAUUGUUCCCGGGGAUAAGAAAAAUAGCGUUUGAAUAGAUAAUAUGGAAUAAGAAAAAUAGUAUGUAGUUUUAUAUAGAAAUGGAGGUGUUGGUGGGAAUAGUUAUACCCGGUUAUCAUAGAUAACCGAGAACUACUAUUCUCGGGUAAAAAAUUACCGUUUGGGUAUAAAGGGGGAUAAGGGGUUAUCCUCCCUAUCCCUAUCCCCUAACCAAACACUGCCCAGGAUAAAGAUAAAGUUGUUAUUUUCAAAAUAUUUUGUUCUUAUUUUCUUGUAAUUCAGAAGGUUAUAAAUAGGGUCGGGCUCUUUUAAAGUCACUCCAGUUUAGAGAGAAUUAAUAUACAGACUCUUCCACAUAAUAAAAUAUUGUAUUCUUUUUUUUUCUCUUUAAUCUGAUUUCAGAUAACCAUGGAAGAGGCGCUGCAACAUUUGCUUCCUUCUCCGUCGGAUCAGUUUGAUAGCCUUCUCCAACGAUCAAUGUUCUCUUUCACCUUUUCUUUUAGAAUUAUCCAACUAAUUAUUGUUUCUGUUUUUUUUUUUCAGCAAUAACCUUUUUCAACUGCAUAUCAUGCAAGGCUUUCUAUUUUACUUCUAAGUAUUGAUUUGUAAAGAAUAAUGAUUUCGACAUUUUUUGCUUUUUCCAGCUACAAAUCAUGUAAUUUUCUAUUUCUUCUACUUCUAAAUUAUUAUAGAUUGGUAAAGAAUAAUAAUUUUUUUUUAUUUUCCUUCUGUGUGUUAUAUAAUAAUAUAAUUAAACUAUAAAAACAUUCUCAUAAAAGAAAUUCCACGAAAUACCACCAAAUUUUUCUUAGAAAUCCCCUACAACUUUCUGCUUAUGCAAAAAAACUUCAUAUUAGAACCCCACCUAUAGAAAUUUUGAAAAUUCAUUUCACUCUCUGCGGUAGCAAAAAGCUCCAUCCUUUUUGCAUAUUAAGCAUCGCAAAAAAGUCCAACCACAAAAGUACAUAAAAUAAUUUGGAGUUCUAGAAACUACAAAACUUCAGGCACAAUAUGCAGAAGAACACAAGUAAGAAUCUGCACCAAAGGUUGACCUACAAUACUUCUAGAAAUAUCAAACUCGUAAGUUACUUCGUGUUGUUUCUAAUGAUAGGGCAUCCAAAUCAAUGAUCGACACUUUUAAAUUCGAUCUACAGUAAUUUGAAUUUUUUGAAACUAAAAUAUUAUCAUUUUAUGAUACCUUUUAUCUGGUGAUCAACUGAUGACCCCAAAGAUACCUUAUAUUUGUGAUUGGAGAUUGUUAGUUUAAAAAACACUUGAACAAUAGAUUACUAUUAGGGUGCGUUUGGUUCGCAUUAUGAAAGAUUACUAGGAAUAAAAGAUAUCCGAGAAUCUUAUUCCUAUUCAUUCUAUUACUAAAAAUGUGGAAUUCCUGUGUUUGGUUCGUACGGUAAUAUUAAUUAGUCAUGUUAUUUAAUAUUACAAAAAAUAUACAAUUAAUUUAUUUAUUUAUUUAUUUAAUUUUAGAUAAUGUUACCAAAAGUUUCAAUAUCUUUUUAGAAAAAAGGAAGAGAGAGUAUAAGUAAGAGAGAGAGAGCAUAAUUAAAAAAAUAGAAAGAAAAAUAUAGUCGAAAUUAGAGGGAGUGAGAGAGUUGAAAUUUUAGAAAGAGAGAGAGAGAAAGCUUAGUUUAGAGAGAGAAAAAAAAAUUGAAUUUUAGAGAGAAAAAUAAGUUUAGAGAGAGAUAUAAAGGUUAGAGUGUAAAGAAAAAUAAUAUCAAUUAGCCAGCGGGUAGGAAGAAAGAAAGAGAUUAAACAUAUUAUGAUUAUCCCAAUUCAUUAAUAUGAAGAUACCCACCCUCCCUCGAGAGAAUGAGAUUAGUACUUUGGGGUGAAUCUUAUUCCCAAGUGAAUCCAAUAUUACCAACUGGAUUACUUAGUGCGUUUAGCCAAACACCGUCAUAUUUUUUUAUUCCCAUUGGAUUACUAGGAAUCUUUAAAAGAUAGCGCGAACCAAACGCACCCUUAUAGAAAUAUCAUGAAUUUUGGCCCAUAUGAAGUUCCAUGUGCAGUAAAUAUGUUUAACGAUGUCGAUUGUUAAUUCAGAUACCCUAUCAUCAGAAAACGACGUCAGAUUAUCAAGUACUUGAUACUUCUAAAAGUAUUCUAGCUCAACUCAGAUAGUAUUCACCCCCCAGAUUUAUCCUGAUACAGUAAAAUCCACACCACCACGAUUAACCCAAAUAU